CCUCAUGUUGUUGUGAUCCCAUGUCCACUCCAAGGUCAUAUAAAGACUAUGCUUAAACUUGCGAAGCUUCUUCACUACAAAGGUCUUCACAUCACGUUUGUCAGCACAGAAUUCAAUCACAAACGUUUCCUUAGGUCAAGAGGACCUCAUGCCCUUGAUGACUUGCCUGGCUUCCAUUUUAGAACCAUUCCCGAUGGUCUCCCUCCUUCAGAUAUUGACGCCACCCAAGACAUUCCUUCUCUUUGUCAUGCCAUGAACAAGAAUUUCUUAGCACCCUUUAAAGAUCUUCUUUUACAACUCAAAAAUACCAUAUCGGAGAACAACCCUCCGAUUACCUGCAUUGUUUCUGAUCCUUUUGCUCCAUUCUCCAUCAAAGCUGGGGAAGAAGUUGGUCUUCCAGUUGUGAUGUAUGCCACUAUGAAUGCAUGUGGCUAUAUGGGAUUUAAACAGCUCUAUGCUCUCAGAAAGAAAGGCUUCACCCCCAUCAAAGGUAUAUUCACAUACUUGUUUAAUUACAACUGAACUUCCAAGCAAAGUGGCUUUAUUACACCAUUAUACAACUUCUUUAGUAUUUUGCAGCUUUAUUCUUUUCUAAAUAUUACAAUUUAAUUAAUUUGGUAUGCCCGCGUUCCGACAAAAAUUUCCAAGCUUAAAUCACACAGGCAAGAUCAAUGAUUAUGUGCAAUAAAUUUUCAUUUUGAGCUUGGUCUAAUAAGAUUGUGUUUUGCAGAUUUGAGCAAUCUAAGCAACGGCUAUCUUGAGACAAAAGUAGACUGGGCUCCUGGUAUGAAAGACGUUCGUCUUAAAGAUUUUCCAUUUAUUCAAACAACAGAUCCAGAUGAAGUUGUAUUUAACUUUGUCAUUGGGGUUGCUGAGACUUCUGUUAAAGCUCGUGCAAUUGCUUUUCAUACUUUUGACGCCUUGGAACCAGAAGUUUUAGAUGGCCUUUCCACUAUUUUCCCUCGAGUUUAUUCCAUCGGUCCACUCCAGUUACUCCUAAAUCAAUUCGAAGAAGAUGGCUUGAAGUCUAUUGGUUACAGUCUGUGGAAAGAAGACCAUGAGUGUCUCCAAUGGCUGGAAACAAAGGAACCCAAAUCAGUGGUGUACGUGAAUUUUGGAAGCAUAACAGUGAUGACAGCUGAUCAACUGGUGGAGUUUGCAAUGGGAUUAGUUAAUAGUAAUAUCCCAUUCUUGUGGAUUAUAAGGCCAGAUUUGGUCAUCGGUGAAUCAGCUGUUUUACCAGCUGAAUUUGCAGAGGAAACUGAAAAGCGAGGCUUUAUUACAAGUUGGUGUCCACAAGAGGAAGUGCUUAACCAUCCAGCAGUUGGAGGGUUUCUAACUCAUAGUGGCUGGGGUUCAACCAUUGAGAGCUUGUGUGCUGGUGUUCCAAUGGUGUGUUGGCCCUUCUUCGCUGAUCAAGCAAUGAACUGUAGAUAUAGCUGCAAUGAAUGGGGAGUUGGAAUGGAGAUUGGUAAUAACGUCAAGAGGGAAGAAGUGGAGAUGCUGGUGAAGGAGCUAAUGGAAGGGGGAAAGGGUGAGAAAAUGAGGGGAAAGGCUAUGGAGUGGAAAAGAUUGGCUGAAGAAGCUGUUGGGCCAGAGGGUACAUCAUCCAUUAAUUUGGACAAGUUCAUCCAUGAAAUAAUCUCUUCAAACAAUUAGAUCGUCGUCACACUAGAAUAAAAAAAAUAAUGAAAAGAUCAAAUUUCGUUUGUUUGUGAAAAGAUCAAAUUUCCUUCCCUGUCUGUUGCCUUUUAUUGGAAUUUAAAUAUCAUAAUAAAUAAAUGCUCCAUUUUCGAACAUGGUGUAGGCCCGCUUUUGGCAUUCUAUAUUUCAAAGCAACCAUGGAUUGUUGAUGUGAUUAGAUCAUUGAUCAUGAAGUUUCUCCUAAUAUGGCAACGAUUCACAUCUAUUAAUCAGGUGGGAGCAUAGUUUUGAAACACAGAACUACUAAUCGGGUCGAGAUCUGGAUCAGAUUUUAAAAAAAAUAAAAAAAGUUAAAAAUUUAAUUGACCCGGCGACUUGGUAAGACCCGAUUAAAAAUUUAAUUAUAAUUUAUUAACUAUUUUUUUUUUUAAUCAAAACAAUAUUUUUUUCAUCAUAAUUUUAAAACUUGAUUUGACAAGUCGACCCGAAACUAGAGCAACAACCCACAUGUCAUCAGGUAAUUUUGCUAGGAAGAUUUAAUAUAAUAUAGUAAUAAUUAAUUAAAAAAAUCCCUGCACCUUGGAGGUACUUAUUGAUAGUGAUCACUGAAGUCAUAAUACAAUGACCUAGCGGAACAUGACGUUAAUUAAAAAUAAACAAAAUCAAGGAAGAUCCAAGAUUUGGAAAUAGAAAAACAAGCACUGCUGGCUAUAAAUGACAGGAAAAGUCCCAUUGAGAUUGAACAUAGUGAAGGUAGCUUGCUAGUCAGAGAGAAGGGAUUGUUGAUGGUUAGAUCAUUAAUCAUUUACUUUAUUAUUCCUGGUCAACAAAACCAAUAUUUCAUAUCUAUCAUUCAAGAGGGAGACUCGAAAGAAGCAUGAAAAGUAACGUCUUUCUUCACCUUUCUUUCACAUAUCGUGAGCAACUAGAUUGGUGUCCUGCGGUAAGUUACGAAUCAAGAGUCAAUUUUUUUCUAGGAGAUAGUUGCACUUUUAAAGAAGAAAAAAAAAAUCAAAGAGUGAGAUUAUUGACUUUACUAGAUUUAAUAAACUCAAUUAAUUUAGUAAUAUAAUUAAAAACAUGCAACAACAAUAGAUAAAUUAAAAAAAGAAAUGACUCGAGUUAACUUGGGCUAACACGCCAAACCCGUGACCUAACACUUGAAAUCAAGAUAACCCCAUAAAAAAAAGAAAAAAAAUAAUAAAGUUUAACCUCCAACAAACUCAAUAUUGAAGGAUAAAAUAAAAAAAUAAUUGUAAAAAAAACCUAAGUCAACUCGGGUUAGCCUUCCAAACCUAUCACCCAUGUUCUGAAGUGAGGAUUACCUCAUAGAAGGCAAGCCUGAAAAAAUUAUGAAGUCAAAUUCCUAAUCAACAAAAUGUUGAGAUAUGAAAUUGAAAAAGAAAUUUUCAAUAAAAAAGGAUCCAAAACAAAAUAAAUUGAAAUAAAAAGUGAGGACCAAAUUUGACAUAAAAAUAAAAUAAAAUCAAAUGUUGAGGGAUGAAAUUGAAAAGAAAAUUCUAUUAAGAAAAGUAUUUAAAACAAAACAAAACAAAUAACAAUUAAAAAAAUGAGAAUCAAAUCUGAUAUGGAAAAAACUAGAGGAUGAAAUCAUAAAAAAAUUAAAUUUAAAAACUAUCUCAAAUAAAAUAAAUAACAAUCAAAAGGAAUAUAGAUAAAAUAUGACAGAUAAAUUUUUUUGAAAGAGAGUGAAAUUUUAAAAAAUCCAAUUUGAUAAAUUAUUUCAAAUAAAAUAAAUAGUAAUAAAAAGAACAGUGGUCAAAUAUAAAGAAAGAAUAAAUCAAAGGGUUACUUUGAAAAUUCAAAGAGUCAGGCAUGAAAAUUGAGGAGGAGAGAGAAAAGAAAAGAAAAAGUAAAGUUUGUUGGUUCAAGUUCAUCAUCUUAUUCAUAAAAGUAGUUACAAGAUUCUUAAACUCUGUCACAAAACAUUUUAAAUAGGUAAAGAUUAAAGUUUGAAGGAACAAGAGGCUUACCAGCGGCUGCAAGUUAAUCACUAUAGGCCUUUCCAUGUUUUAAGGAGGUUAUGACACACUACCAGAAAUUCGCUCAAUAGCAACGGAUUUACCGACAGAAUAUUUCUGUCGGUAAUUUGAGGUUGAAAUUACUGACGGAAACUUUUCCGUCGUCGCUGACGUAGAGGUUUUGGCGGGUAAUUUUUACCAACGGAAUCACCGACGAAUUCAAAACGACAGCCCGUACAGUGACGUGAUUGGUUCGCCGUUUAAAAUGCCGAUGGAAUCACCGAGGGAUUCGAAAUGGCAGAUCCGUACGGUGACGUGUUGAUUUUUCUGUCAGAAUCACCGACGGAAAAUCCGUUGCUGAAACCGUGGGAAAAAGUUAAUAUAUGUCCUCUCUGCCGACCCUCUCCUCCCCUAUUUCUCCUUCUUCUUCCUAAUCCCAACUCUCCCCAUCUGCAAACAACCACCCCCCCUCCCCCAAACAAAAAUCUCCCUCAUCUCAGCACAACAAGUCAUAUUUCUUGAAGUUUUGUGGUCAUAGCAUCCGUGUUCUGAUUUACCAACAGAUUUUAUCAAUUUUUGUAAGUAAUUCUAUCUUUUUAAAUUUUAACAUUUAAUUAAAUGUCAAUUUUAUUGUUUUUUUAGUAUAUGUAUUUUGUUAGUAGAUGUACAUGUUUUAUUGUUAUUUCUCAAACAAACUUGUAGUAUAUGAAUGUAUAAUUCUAUACCUGUUAUGGUUUGUUUUAGGUUUUGUAAGAUUGUAUUUGUUGGUAAAUUGUUAAAACUUUAUGGAAUUACCAAAUUACAUGUGCUGUUUUGAAAUAAUUAAUAGCUUGCUUAAUGAGUCCAUUUAAAGUUUUAUCAAUGGUAUUGCGGAGUAGUAAUUUCUGUAAAUUUAUAUAUAUUAAUUUGUAUGGACGUUGAUAAAUGAUAAUGAAUAUUUAAUAUUUAUAAGAAGUUGUGAUUGGUUUGUUGGAUAAUCUUGAGGUAAAGUAAUAUUUUUGCAAGUUUAUUUACCUAACUUAGUUAAUUAAUACAUGAUGUCAUCAUAAUUUUAUAGAGGUUCGAUAUAAGUCAUGGAUGAUCGUUCAUGGAUGUAUCGAGAUUCACCCCAAGGAUUGCGGAGGAUUGAUUAUUGUAACGGGGUUUAGGGUUUUAUUAAUUUCGCAACAUCUAUUCCUAGAAAUUUUACUGGAGGCGGUAUUAGGUAUCCAUGCAGGAAGUGUCAAAAUAAAAAAUAUCUGCAUCCAGAUGUUGUAAUGAUGCAUCUUCUACACAAAGGGUUUAUGAAGAAUUACCAGUGUUGGUAUGCACAUAGAGAAGUAUUUGUUAGUAAGAGGAGAAUGGGAGAAACGGUGGUUGGAUCUACUUCUAGUGCUAGCAACGUGCAUGAAGCGGCAAAUAACAACACUAAUCCUUACAGAAAUAUGGUUAUGGAUUCAAUGAGAAUGAAUCAAGGUAAUGUCAGUCAAUUUCCAAUCGUAGAAGAAGAACCUAAUGCAGAUGCAGCUAGGUUUUUUGAUUUGUUGAAAGAUUCUGAUGAACCAUUAUGGGAUGGUUGUACGAACCACAGUAAAUUAUCGGCCGUAGCACAGGUGUUCACCAUCAAGUCAGAUCACGGGUUGAGUGAGGUUGGGUAUGACAAGAUUAUUGCAUGGAUGAGAAGUAUUUUACCUGAAGGGAACAUGCUGAAAGAGAACUUCUAUGCUACGAAGUCCAUGAUGAAAACCCCUCGGUUUAGGAUACCAGAAAAUUGACAUGUGCCCUAACUUCUGCAUGUUAUACUACCUUGAAAAUGCUGAGAUGACCGAGUGCAUGACAUGCGGGCAUUCCCGUUAAAAACCUAGAACUAGCAGGGGAAAGACUCUAGUGGCAUAUAAAAAACUUAGAUACUUCCCGAUCACACCUAGACUGUAGAGGUUAUUCAUGUCAUCAAGGACUGCUGAGCACAUGACAUGGCACCAAGCACAUAAUGCGGUUGAUGGAGUGAUGGUGCAUCCUUCUGACGGCGAAGCGUGGAAACGCUUUAACAGUGUCCAUCCUCACUUUUGAGCUGAAUCAAGGAAUGUGCGUCUUGGGUUGUGUACAAACGGAUUCAACCCAUUUAGGUCAUUUGCUGCUCCUUAUUCUUGUUGGCUGGUCAUACUCACAGUUUAUAACUUGCCACCGGGAAUGUGUAUGAGGCCAGAGUUCAUGUUUUUAUCUACUGUCAUACCCGGUCCAAGCAGCCCGGGGUGGAAUAUAGAUGUUUGUCUUCGACCGUUGAUUGAUAAGUUGGCUUAAUUGUGGUCCUCCGGAGCUCUGACUUAUGAUAUAUCGAGGAAACAAAAUUUCCUUAUAAGGGCGGCUUUGAUGUGGACUAUCAAUGAUUUUCCAACUUAUGAAAUGCUUUCUGGUUGGAGCACGUAUGGGAAACUCGCAUGUCCAUACUGCAUGGAAAACAACAAGGCAUUCACGCUAGCAAAUGGAGGUAAAGCUUCUUUUUUUUACUGUCACCGUCGCUUCUUGCCACUUAAUCACAGGUACAUAAAGAACAAAAAAGAUUUCUUUGUUCGUAGAGUUGAAAAAGAUGUUGCAUCCCUGCGUCUUUCUGAUGAAGAAUUGCAUGAUGUUGUAUCAGAGUACGGUGACAUUGUGUUUGGCCUUCAAUCAGGUAAGCAAAAGUUUUAUGGUUUUGGUUUGACCUAUAAUUGGGUAAAGCGAAGUAUCUUUUGGGAGCUUCCUUAUUGGAAGAUCAAUCUACUCCGCCAUAACCUUGACGUCAUGCACAUCGAAAAGAACAUGUUUGAGAACAUUUUCAACACCGUCAUGGAUGUGAAGGGGAAGACAAAGGACAACAUCAAGGCUAGAUUGGAUAUAGCUUUAUACUGUAACCGUAAAAAUAUGGAGUUGGUUUAUGAUGAGUCACGGGUCGCAAAACCAAGAGCAAGCUUUGUGUUAGAGAAAAACGCACAACUGCUAGUCUACAAAUGGCUUAAGAGUCUGUGUUUUCUGGAUGGACAUGCAUCGAACAUAUCAAGGUUGGUUAAUAUAAAGGACUGUAGAUUGUAUGGAAUGAAGAGCCAUGACUGCCACGUGUUUAUGCAAACACUAAUCCCAUUAGCUUUUCAUGAUUUAUUGCCAAAAGGAAUAUGGGAUGCACUCAUGGAGAUUAGUCAUUUCUUCAGAGAUAUAUGCUCCAGCAAGUUAAAUGUUGAGCACAUUGAGAGGCUUCAAACGAAUAUCGUCGAAACACUAUGCAAACUUGAGAUGAUAUUCCCUCCAUCAUUUUUUGACUCAAUGGAGCAUCUCCCUAUACAUAUACCGUUCGAGGCAAAAUCUGGAGGACCGAUCCAAUAUAGAUGGAUGUACCCAUUCAAAUGGUUAGAUAUUAUAGUUGCAAUGUAAUUCAUAUAUAAAAGUAUUUUCUAUGUUUUUCUUAAUUGAAAAUACUUGAUUAAUUCAAUGCAAGUACUUGUUUAAUCUCAAGAAAAAGGUUAAGAACAAGGCGCAUGUUGAGGCCUCGAUAUGUGAGGCCUAUAUUGUUGAGAAGAUCUCAACAUUUAUCUCGUACUAUUUCGAACCUCAUCUAAGAACGAGAAUCAAUCGCGUUCCACGGUAUGAUGAUGGCGGUGAAGUGCCUUCCAAUGGGAACUUGUCAAUAUUCUCCAAUACUGGACGACCCACACCUAAAAAUGUCGUAAGAGAAAUGUCAAGAGGCACAGAGAUAUAAGGAAACAAUGAUUCAUCAAAGAGGACAUGGCAAGACACAAAGAUGCGAUUGGUAUGAAGGGAAAAACAAAUAUACCCUUUAUAUUGGCUGGCAUAGCCCAAAAAUAUGCAUGUGGAAGUUUUUGGCUGUAGUUUAUUAGUGUUGUAAGACCGAAGUAAAGGGAAACAAGCACAACCAAAGAUGCGCAAGUGAUGGAUGACAGGGGAAGAACCAUACAGCAAGAAAAAAGGAGAUUUCAGCCGUAGAAGUUGACAAGGCAAUCUAUUAAUCAAAUAGAUGGAAGUAGCACAAGCAUGAAACCAGAAUUUAUGAGGGAGAUGGGCAGUUUGUAACAAAGUGACGGUGGUUUCCACAAUAUGUCUAUGCUUUCUUUCAGCAAGACCAUUUUGUUCAGGGGUAUAGGGACAUGACAUUUGAUGAACAAUGCCCUUGGUAUGAAGAUAGUUUUUGAAGUUGGUGCUAAUAUAUUCACCACCUCCAUCACUUUGAAAGAUCUUAAGUGUAGCAAAAAAUUGAGUAACUAAAAAUGUAUGGAAAUGGACAAAAAUAGAAUAAACCUCUCCUUUAUUGAUCAUUGGAAAAAUCCAAGAGUACCGUGUACAUUCAUCAACAAAACUAACAUAAUAUCUAAAGCCAUCAACAGACAUUACGGGUGCAGGGCCCCAAACAUCACUAUGUAUGAUUUCUAAAGGGUGAAUAGACUUAACUGCUGGAUAUGGAAAAGGAAGCUUAGUAAUUUUUCCCUCUAAACAAGUGGUACAAACAGACUUGGUAGGAUCUGAAGUGAAGGGAAUCUGAGACUAAGUGAGAAGAGUGGACGUGAUGCUAUUAGAGGGAUGACCAAAUCGCUUGUGCCAAAGACUGGUUUGAACCUGUUGACCAAGAUAGCAAGACUGAUUACGAUGGGAAGCUGAUGCAAGUUGAAAAGGUGUGUGGGAACUAGAAGAAACAGAAAAAGGAAUAGGAUAUAAACCAUUACUACACAGGCCCUUGAGAAGGACAUUCCCCGUGAAUUUGUCCUGAAUCCAAAAACCAAAGUCAUCACAAAUAAAUCGACAAUGAUUAUCUUUACACAGCCUAUAAACUGACAGCAGAUGUUGAGAUAGCUUAGGAACAUGCAACACUUGGUGUAAUUGUAAGGAGCAUUGUGGAAUAGUCAAAACAGAAAAGCCAAUACUAGAAAUGCUCAAACCUGAACCGCCUGUAGUGGUAAUAGCAUCAGGACCAGAGUAAGAAGUAGCCUCCUGAAGGUGAGACAAAUCAGAUGUCAUAUGAGCUGUGGCGCCAGUAUCAGCCACCCAAAUUGGUUCAGGAGGUGGAGGAAAGGUAGCAGCCAUAGCACUAAGAUUGAUGGAAGGAGGACGACCUUGAUAGGAGAAGUUGCCUCUAUGAUAACAUUGGAUGGCAGAAUGCCCAUAUUUCCAGCAAAUUUGACAUUGAACAGAAGAGGUAGGGGCUGAGGAUUGGUUGUGACGUUGAUAACAAUCGGCAGCAACAUGACCUCUCUUACCACAGAUUUGGCAAGUAGGCAUAUCAGUUCCAGGACCAAGAAUACCAGGAUUAGAGCUUGGUUGAGCAGGAUAAUGUCGAUGGCUAGAUUGGAAAGUAUGGCGACCUCUACCACGGCCCCUAAACUGAGAGCCACGGUGGUGAAAAUAACCACCAGUGUUAUGACCAUUGAAACCACUUUGAUAGCCGUUAGAACCUCCAUGGAAGCCAGAGGAAAAUUGAGAAGAUGGAGCUGACUUGAAGUUGGAAGAAAGAGGAUUAGAAUUACCUUCAUCAAGAACCAGAGCCUUGCCUUGAGACACUUGAUUCUGAACGUGCAUAGCAGAGACAAAUAGAGAAGAGGAAUGGGUCUGCUCAAUAGUAGCUUCUUCAGCAAGCAAUUGAGAGCGAAAAUCUUUAAGAGAUAACACAUUAUCUCUGCCUCGAACCAUACAUCGGAACGUGUUAUAGUCAGAAGAAAGGCCAUUGAGAGCCAAGAUCACAAUAUCUUCAUCUUCAAAAUAAACUCCAGCGGCAGAGAGAUGAUCACGGGCAUCUUUGAUUCUCUGCAGUUACUGAGACACGGGUUCUGAACCUUUCUUGAUAGUUUGAAGUUCACUCUUCAUUUGAAAUAUUCUUGCCUUGGUUACUGUAGAAAAACGAUCCUUCAAUUGAACCCACAUAUCAUGAGAACUGAUGCAGCCAAUGACAUAGGAAAUGGCAGUAGAAGAAAGAGUGGCAAUAAGUAGCUGCAUCAGUGCUCUGUCAUGCAUUUUCCAAAUCUGAUGAUCAUCAGAUUCAACACCCUCAAUAUCGGAAUCUGUAUAAAAUUGACUUGGACAUUUUCUGGAACCAUCAACAAAUCCUAGAAUUCCAUGACUUUCAAGAUGAAUUUUCAUUUGAAAUUGCCAAACGAGGUAGUUUGUAUCGUCAAGCUUCACUGUUAUAGCAGUAGAGAUUGCAGGAAGCAGAGAAGUGAUAGGAGAUUGAAUAAUCUGAAGUUGAGAGCUAGUCACCAUUUUAGAAUGUAGGAGAAAGCAGAAAAUUGAAGAUUAUAAUGUUCGGUGAAGUAAUAGAAAACUGGAGUUUUGAAGAAGAGAAUCAGUGAGGCAAUAUAUCAAAUAGCUGAUAGGCACAUCAAUAAGUGCACAAGAAUUUUAUGAAGAGGAUGAGAAUAAAGCCAAAAUUCAGAAGUUAAUGGCCACAAGAUCAAGAGUUCCAGUGCUCUGAUACCAUGAUAGACAGUAAUGUUUAUAUAGAAAUGAAAUAGAAAUGAAGAAAAAAAGCAGAGAGUGAAAAGAACGAAGAACAGAGAAUGAAUGAAUCUGUUAUGCACAGAGAAGCAGAAGACGAAUUCUAGCACUGUUUUAUUAUUUGCUUUUGCUUAAAUGUUUUCAUUACUCAUACUCAGUUUAUAUAUGUAGUAUUGGAAGAUACUAUACGAAGAAUAUUCUUCCUUUUACACACAAUAUAAAUGCUAACAGAUUCUCCUUUUGUAACAAAACUACUAACAGCAUUGUAACAAUAUUAAUUGCUAAUCUUCUGACACUUGGCAUCAUUAGGAUCGUUGAUAUCUUUACAGUAAGACCUUUUUCUUUGAGUGCUUGAAAUUGUUUAAACCCCAUGAAGCUGCAAGCAGAGAUAGUAAUGAACAAUUCAAUAGGGAUCCCGAGCAUCUCAGCAGCAGUGAUAGCGACAGGCAUGAAACCAUCAGAGACGAUGCAAGUCACAGGGGGAACAUCAGGUGAUGCUGUGUCAUUCAGCUUGUCUAGCAGGUCAUGAAAUGGAGCCAACAAGUUCUUACUGGCAGCUUCACAAAGUCCAGGCAAAUCUUGGGUGGCAUUCUCAUCCGAGGGAGGGAGGCCAUCAGGAAUGGACUCGAACCGAAAGUCCGGCAAACCUUUCAGGGAAUCAGGACCUCUAGAUUUAAGUAAACGCUUAUGGUUAAACUCUGUGUUAACAAAGGUGAUGUGAAAACCUUUGUGAUGUAGUAGUUUUGCUAGUUUAAGCAUUGACUUUAUAUGGCUUUGAUAAGGGCUAGGGAGACAGACUGCAUGAGGCUUAUGAUCAGCUAAAAUUUUACAAGUCAUGCCUCAAGCUCGCUCUUUCUUUCUCUUUUUCCUCUGCUACUUGAGUUUCUGCUAUUCUAUGUUAAAGUGAACACACCCAUCACCAACUUAUAUUUAUCAAUUUUGAAGGAUAAAACACUGCUAAAUUAGAAGUUGUUGUCAAGGGAUUGUUUUAUUUAUUUUCGACAUCGCAUGGAUUAAUUAAUUUUUCUCAUAAAAUUUCGUGACUGAGUUAUAAUUAACUCUCAAUCUGUGGAACUUUUAAUAGUGACCAGUAUUGCGACAGAUGUUCUCUUGAUUUUGGAGUCAUUGUCUGAUCUUUAAUUUUGUCAAAUGCAAAGAAAUCUGAAACACACUUGUUUUGUUUAUUCCUAUCCUCACACUAUUUUUCUCCUCAUGAGCCAAAAUAUGAUUAGAAAAGCACCCAAGUGGACAAUAAGCCAAAUUGGCGGAAGAAUCAAAAGCAAACAGAUGAAGACAACUUAUAGAAACAUAAACCAGAGACAAAAUAAUUUAUUAAACCGUUGGCUUUAAUGGACUCUCUUGUCCUUUGGAAAAGAUUCCACAUUCAACAGGAUAUCGACACUACUCACCUUGAAAACAACACUUUGUUUAUAUUAAACUUUUUUUUUAUUCCAUCAUGAAAGAACUUCCGUCACCAACGUGUCUACAUUCAUGGAUGAUAUUUAAUAAGUGUGUGUGUUCGCGGAAUUAUGUUUUUUAAAAUAUUUUAGUUAAAAUUAAUUUUUUUAUGUUUUUAGAUAAUUUUAAUGUAUUAAUGUCAAAAUUAAUUUUUAAAAAAUAAAAAAUAUUAAUUUGAUGCAUUUCUGAGCGAAAAAUAUUUUAAACUACAAUCGCUACCACACUCCUAACCACAAGAUAAUGUUUGGGUAUGAUAAUAAUUGUUUUUUAAAGUGUUUUUUGUUUGGAAAUAUUUUAAAAUAAUAUUUUUUUUAUUUUUUAAAAAAUAUUUUUAACAUCAAUAUAUAAAAAAUUAAUUUUAAAUAAAAAAAAAUCAAAUUUUAAUGAAAAAAAUCAAAUUUUAAUGAAAAAAAUCAAAUUUUAAUCAAAAACUAUUUGUAACUGAAUUCUAAACAGAGAUUUAACAGCAGAAUACAUGAGAUAUUAUUGGAAAUAUAUGCAUCCACCACAAUAACUUUAGAAAACAAUACGGGAAUAUAGUGUUUCUCUGUCUUGUUUUGAGCUUCAAUUAUUUUUUUGUUAUACGUCAUAAGUUUGGUUUCGUGACAAGAGCACUUCUUUCACCAACAUGUCUAAAUUCAUGGUUGAUGAACCUCUGGGGCCACUGGCCUCCUCUGCUAGUUUUUUCCAUUCUGUGGAUUUCUCCUUCAUUUUCUUACCUCUCUCCCCCUCCAUCAACUCUCUCACAAGCUUCUCCACAUUAUCUCUUUUCACAUUGCUAUCAAUCUCCAUUCCAAUUCCCCACUCAGUGCAUGUAUACCUACAAUUUGUUUGUUGAUCACCAGCGAAUGGCCAACAAAGCAUAGGCACACCAGAAGAAAUGCUCUCGAUUAUGGAAGUCCAUCCACAAUGUGUUAGAAAACCUCCAACUGAUGGGUGGUUGAGGACUUCCUCUUGUGGACACCAACUACAAAUAAAGCCCCUUUCUUUAGUUUCUUCAGUGAAUUCUGGUGGCGAUAUCGCGGAGUCGCCGGUGAUCAUGUCUGGUCGUAUUAUCCAUAAAAAUGGGUGACCACUUUUAGAAAGUCCCAUUCCCAAUUCAACGAGCUGCUCUUUUGUAGCCACUGCUAUGCUACCAAAAUUCACAUAAAUUACCGAGUUGGGUUUCUUGGAAUCAAGCCAUUGGAGACACUCAACUUCUUCUUUCCAUAGGUUACAAUCAAUAGAAUUUAGAUCAUCUUCUUGGAUUUGAUUGAGAAGUAAUUGAAGUGGACCGAUUGUGUAGACACGAGGGAAGAUAGGAUAAAGGGCAGUCAGGACUUCUUGCUCUAAAGCAUCGAAAGUAUGGAAAAUGACCGCAGAAGCUGAAGGAGCUCUCUCAGCGCAUCCUAGGCAGAAGUUGAACAUAAAAUCAGUUGCAUCUGUUGUACGAACAAAACUUGGAAGAUCUCUUAUCCGUAUAUCUUUCAUUCCUGGAAUCCAGUCUACUACCUUUUCCAGGAAGCCAUUUGUUAAAAAGCUCUCAUCUGAAACAAAAUUGAGCAAAUCAGUAUCUUUUAAUCGAUAGAGCUAUAUAAAUAGCUAGCAGUGAUUAAGCAGACAGGUAACGAAUUUCUUUAUAUGUAUAAGCAGAGACUCACUGAUACAAACUCCUAAAAGAACUAAAAGCGGUCUGAGCACAUUGUAGAGAACAUAUGACCUCUUCGAUGAGAGAAGAAAAUGUUGGAGAAUAAUAUAAAUUAUAUCUUGAAAUUUCAUCUAAUAAUUUAAGCUAUUGGGUUGAAUUGGUUCUUUGAUAUGAUAUUAGAGUUUUGAUAACCAAGUUGUCACGAGUUCGAAUCUCACCACCUCAUCUAUCUGAUAAAAAUUAAAAACAAAAUAGUAUGGGCCUUUGUAAAUUUUAAACCUAAAAACUUUCACUUGAAUAUGUAUAUUAGAGAAUAAUAUAAAUUAUAUUAAUUUUAAAACUUCACCUAAUAAUUUAAGCUAUUGAUUUGAAAUAGUUUUUUUUAUAAGAAAUAACUGAAUUAUAUAUAAUUCAUAUAAAAUCCAUGCAUAAUUUAUAUAAUACCCGGUGGACUUUCCAGUGAAUUAGAUGAAAAUCGAAGAAUGGAUUUUGUUUCUGGUAACAUAAAUAAUUUUUGCUUUUAUAAAUAGUUUUUUUACCGAUAUUUUAGACUAAAAGAGAUAUCAAUUUUUUACUUUUAUAUUGAAAUUGGAUUUGAAAAAUUUAUCUUACCAUAAUAAUUAGUUUUAUGGUUUCCUACUUUUAGAUCCCAGAAAUUAGUUUUUUUUUUUUUUUUUUUACCACUAUCUAUCCUUUAAACGGCAAGAACAACAAAUGAGCUUUUAAUUUUUCUCUUAUUCAUACCUUUCAGUGGUGUAAGACCUCUUUCUUUGAGCGCCUUGUAUUGUUUAAAGCCCAUGAAGCUGCAAGCGGAGAUGGUAAAUAACAGCGCAAUCGGAAUUUGGUGCAUCUCGGCAGAAGUGAUAGCUACUGGCAUGAAACCAUCAGAAAGGAUGCAGGUCACUGGGGGCGAAUCAGAAGCUGCUGUGUCAUUGAGCUUGUCAAGAACUUCAUUAAACGGAUCCAGCAAAUUCUUCGAGGCAGCCGCAACAGCUACAGAGAUAUCUGGGAUGACAUUCUCAUCUGAAGGAGGAAGGCCAUCAGGAAUGGACUCGAACCGAAAGUCGGGCAACCCAUUCAGGGAAUCAGGACCUCUAGAUUUAAGUAAACGCUUAUGGUUAAACUCUGUGUUGACAAAGGUGAUGUGAAAACCUUUGUGAUGUAGUAGUUUUGCUAGUUUAAGCAUUGACUUUAUAUGGCUUUGAAAUGGGCUAGGGAGACAGACUGCAUGAGGCUUAUGAUCAGCUAAAACACUAUAAACCAUCUCUCUAACUCACUCUUCGUUUCCCUGUUUGCUCCAAGUUCUCUGCAAUUUAGAGAUUCUACUCUUACAUAUAGCAAUAGUUAAGUUAUGCUAUUGCUGCUACAGUGUUUUUUUAUAAUAUUUUUUAUAUCAAUAUAUAGGACUUCUAAUUCAAGUCGCAUACGGCAGCAUUUAUUUUAUAUUUAAUCUUAAAGAUAUUAUGGAAAUCUGAAACCACAUGCUUCUUUCUCUACUUGCUCUUCGAUCUGUGCAAUUUAGAGAUUUUUUUUUUUUUUUUUGAUAAUCAUCGAGAGUAUAUUAAGAAAGCCAUAAAGCCAAUAGUCAAAGAGAAAUAUAAGGGAUAUGAGAAAAUAAAAAACUUAUUUACUACAACAAACAACAAAAAGACUGCCUAAGAUUUCUUAUUACACCACAAUUUGAUGCCAUCAGAAGAUCUUAAGAGGUCAUUUCCUGUAUAAGUGAAGUUUGAAUCUUGAGUAUGCAACCAAAUAGCAACCCGAUGAAGGAUGGUGGAGAAACAAUCAAACAAGUUUAAAGUUCCCUCCUCAAAAACAAUUUUGUUCCUCAGCAACCAAAUACCCCAAAUAGUACUACUUGAAAUUAGUCUCCAAGUUGAUCUUUGGAAUUUGCCAUGUACUAUUUCGGGCCACUGCAGAAGCAGCGAGUCAAGUGUUCUCGGUAAAUAAUAUUGGAUACCCCACCAAUCCAAAACUUUCAUCCAAACACUCCUAGAAAAGUUACAAUGUAUAAAAAGAUGCUCUGAGGUUUCCAAAUCUGAGCUGCAAAAGACACAUGAAGCUUGUGUGGCAGACAAAACAGUCCGUUGAUGAAGAAAAGCUCUUGUACUAACUUUGUCCUGUACUGCUAACCAGAGAAAUACCUGAACUUUCGGAGGGGCCCCUUUAAUCCAAACAUUUGCUUCGAAAACUCUAUCAUUCGCAGAGGAGGUAUUAUCAAUUAGAGUGCAACAGGAUUUAACUGAGAAGUUUCCAUCAGAAUUGCAUGGCCAAGUUUGUCAUCUUUUCCUUACUGAAUUUUCAUUGGCUCUAGCAUUGAGAGCAAAUAAUGAUAUUGUUGCUCUUCAUUGGCUCCAGCAUUGAGAGCAAUUUAGAGAUUCUACUCUUACAUACAGCAAUAAUUACGUUAUGCUAUUGCUGCAACUAUUUGUUUGUCUGCGAGACUGAAUCCAAAAUUGGCCCACAUGGCAUACAUUUAGUCCUUGUGUUUAUCAAGAUUUAUUUAAUUAAUUAGUCGUCAUAGUUUAGUAAUUAAAUGAUAAAUUUCUUUUCAGGGUUAACUACUAUAAUUAUUAAAUCUAGUUUGGUUUGGCAUGGUCGGUAGAUCUACCUGGUAAUCUAUUGACAUGAAGUCUAGCUUAUUCGAAGUUUCAUUUUGAACCAUUAAUCCAAUUAACUUAGUCAAAUUAAGUUAAGUUCAGUCAAAUUAACUGUAUUUUUUAAAAAAAUUUAUAUAAAAUAACAUUAUUUCAUUUAAAAACUAAAUGAUAUUAUUUUAAAGUUGAUUCAGAGUUUUAAUCUAAUAAACUCAUGACUUGAUAUUGGAUCAAGACAAGCCUUGAGAAAAGUCUCAUAACUAUGUUCAUUAUAACUUGAUCCCUAUAUGUAUUAAGAUUUAAUUAAUUACAUCCUCGUGGUUUAAUAAAUUAAAUAUUUAGUCAUGUUUGUAAAUCUAUUUAUAAUUUAAUUAUUUUUGUAAAUUUCAUUUUUUUUUUCUAAUUUAUUUUAAAAAAAUAGAAAAAUAAACAAUAUGAAAAGAUAGAUGAGAAAAGAAAACACUUUUUUUUGGACAAAAUACUACUAAAUUAAACAUGACUGUCAAAAUAGUAUUUUAUUAAUUUUCAAUAUCACUGAAAUUAAUUAAUUUUUUGAUAAAAUAGUAGCCACUUUGUUCUCUUAAUUUUUAAGUCACUGUCUGAUAUUAUUUAGUUUUUCAAAUGAACAGAAAUCUGAAACCACACGUUUUAUUUAUUCAUUUCCUUAACUUGUUUUAUUUAUUCAUUUCUCUUGAUAAGCUAAAAUAUGAUUAGAAAAACACCCAAGCGUGCAUGAAGCCAACUUGGCGGAAGAGUCAAAAGCAAACCGCAAACAAAAAUCAUAAAAUGAUUAGAUAAUCAAACAAGCUAGAAUAUUUGUUUAGUUUGUAAUAAUUUCGACAAUGAAUCUUCAUAUUCAAGAUAUUUUAGAAUAAAAAUGAUUUAUUUGAUAAUUAAUUGAUAUCUAAGUUCAAGCAAUUUGAUCUAUUUUUUUUAGUUAAGGUGUCUAAUGAUUUGAUAUGGAAAAGUCAAGGGGUUGGUAACUAGUAGUAGGUGAUACUUGGUAAGUCAAGGUAACCAAUAGCUAUAUUAGUAGGAGCAGGUGAUGCCAAGUGAACAGUAGUUGUGUUUUGUAGUAGCAGGUGAUGUCUGGUAAUCUAGGUGACCGGUAGCUAUGGUAGUAGCAAGUGACUGGUAGCUGAUACCUACAAAAAAAAAUUUUAUGGACGUGAGGACUCUUCGAUGAUAAAAUCAAUAACUUUAUAAAGAGAGAAAGUGAAAUGAUAUUUUAUAGAGAUAAAUUCUAAAAAUAUAUGUGCUAAAAAUGUUAAUAAUGAAGAGAUUAUGAAUCUUGAGCUUGAAAGAUUCAUUAUGUAUUUAUAACUCAUGAAUCUUAUCUUUCUGUUAAGAGAAGGGGUUGAAUUGUGAUCUCAUUGUUGAUGCUGGGGAGUACGCCCAGCUAGGCACCCAUGCACUCGACGUAUGAUCAGUGCACUGCAUAAGCGUACAUCUUUCUUUUCCUAUCUAGUAACCACCAACUCUUCGGUUAUUUCAUAUAUACCUCUACGUUAAUAUUACCAUUUUAAAAAAUUAUUUCUAUAACCAUUUGAUGUAUUUCAAACUUUUUAAUAGUUAUGAUAGCUGUAAACAUUUUUGUGGAAGUUAUUCUUAACAAAAUUGAAUAUGUGUCAAAAUAAUCUACAUCUUGUUAUCUAAAAUAUUUAACAACAAGUCUAACUUUAUAUUUGUCAAUAUUUGCAACUUUUAUCUUUGUUUUAAAGAUCCAAAUAUGUUCUAAUAAUUUAUUUCUAGAAGAAAAAUCCACUAGUUUUUCAUGUAUUAUUAUUCAUAAUAGAUUCAAUUUUAUUAUUAACUAUCUCCUUCCAAAAACAUCGGAGUAUGUUCGAUGUUCAUUUUCUAAUAAGUAUAUUCAAAAAUCUAGAUAAUAUUUUACCUUUUUAGUUCUUCUAGGCUUAACUCCAUGAUUUUUCAAUCGAUGAUGAUUACUUAGCAAUGUAAAAGAAUCAACACUAAACAUUAGCCUGCCAUAUUAUUUAGCAAUUUAAAAAGCUUAGGAUAUGAUGUGUGUUUAUAUCAGAUAUUAUUAAGCAAUAUAUCAACCCUAAUCACCUUGAAAACAAUACAUUUGUCUUUUGCUUAAAUUAUCUUUUAAUAAAGAAGCAAAUUUUUUUCUUAUGACAACAGCACUUCCGUCACUAACUUGUCUAAGUUCAUGGAUGAUGAACCACCGGGCCCAGUGGCCUCCUCAGCUAAUUUUUUCCACUCCAUGGCUUUCUUCUUCAUUUCUUUAGCUUUCUCUCCCUCCAUAAACUCUCUCACAAUCUUCUCCACUUUAUCUCUUGUCACAUUGCUAUCAAUCUCCAUUCCAAUUCCCCACUCAGUGCAUGUGUACCUACAGUUUGUUUGUUGAUCACCAGCGAAUGGCCAACAAAGCAUAGGCACACCAGAAGAAAUGCUCUCAAUUAUGGAAGUCCAUCCACAAUGGGUUAGAAAACCUCCAACUGAUGGGUGGUUGAGGACUUCCUCUUGUGGACACCAACUACAAAUAAAGCCCCUGUCUUUAGUUUCUUCAGUGAAUUCUGGCGGCAAUAUCGCACAGUCGCCAGCGAUCAUGUCAGGUCUUAUGAUCCAUAAAAAUGGGUGACCGCUUUUUGCAAGUCCCAUUCCAAAUUCAAUGAGCUGCUGCUUUGUAGCGACUGCUACGCUGCCAAAAUUAACAUAAACGACAGAGUUGGAUUUCUGGGAAUCCAGCCAUUGGACACAUUGAACUUCUUCUUUCCAUAGAUUACUUCCAAUAGAAUUCAGAUCAUCUUCUUGCAUUUGAUUGAGAAGCAAUUGAAGUGGACCAAUCGCAUAGACACGAGGAAACAUGGAGUAAAGGGCAUUCAGAACCUCUUGCUCCAAAGCAUCAAAAGUAUGGAAAAUAACGGCAGAACCUUCAGAAGCCCUCUCAGCACAUUCCACGCAGAAGUUAAACAUAUAAUCAUUUGGAUCUGUUGUUCGAACAAAACUGGGAAGGUCCCUUAACUUUAUAUCUCUCAUUCCUGGGAUCCAAUCUACCACUUUGUCCAAGUAGCCAUUUGUUAAAAAGCUCUCAUCUGCAAACAAAAAUUGAACGUACAUAUAGCUUUUAGUAACUGAAUAAAAGUGGCUGCAGAAACAGAGAAAAUAUAUAUAUAAAAAAAGAAGGUUUCCUAGCUUGUACCCCUAGUGAAAAGAAUGAAUAAUUAAGGGCAACAGUUUACUUACAGGAGAAAAUAUUUUGAAUUAAUGAACUAAUAAAAAAACCUUAAUGAAAUUAUAAUUACGUUUUUUUCCUUGUUCAUACCUUCUAGUGGUGUCAGACCUUUUUCUUUGAGUGCUCGAAAUUGUUUAGUCCCCAUGAAGCUGCAAGCAGAGAUAGUAUAGAACAAUGCAAUAGGAAUUUCGUGCAUCGCAGCAGCAUCGAUCGCGACUGGCAUGGCACCAUCAGAGACGAUAUAAGUCACUGGGGGGACAUCAGAAGAUGCUGUGUCAUUCACCUUGUCAAGCAGGUCAUUAAAUGGACCCAAUAAGUUCUUCCUGGAAGCCUCACAAAUUGCAUAGAAAUCGUGGGCGGCAUUCUCAUCCGGAGCAGGGAAGCCAUCUGGAAUGGAUUCAAACCGAAAAUCGGGCAAACCAGUCAGGGAAUCAGGACCUCUAGAUCUAAGUAAACGUUUGUGGUUAAACUCUGUAUUGACAAAGGUUAUGUGAAAACCUUUGUGAUGUAGUAGUUUCGCUAGUUUAAGCAUUGAGUUUAUGUGGCUCUGAGCUGGGUGGGGAAUGCAAACUGCAUGAGGCUUAUCAACUAAAAUAUUAGAAGCCAUCUCUCUAAUCUCCCUCUCUCUCUCUCUCUCCUCUGUUGUCCUCGCAGUAGAGAUUCUGGCCUUUGUAUAGGCUUUAUCAACUUAGGAUCACACUGUUGGUGGGAUUGAAAUUAAAGAAGACAAUGCUGUAAAUAAUGAAGAUUAUCAACUUUAUUAAUUUUUUUUUUAUAAAUAUAAAGUAUAUAUAAGGUUUUUUAUUCUAUAUUAGAAAAAUAAGAUCUCCAUAUAAUAUUUAUAUAGUAAAAUUUGAUAUAAAAUAGUAAUUAAUAAAGAAAAUGAUAAUUGGCUGGCAUGUAUAAGAUUGAGCUAGAAAAAAAUAUCUGAUUACCCGUGCAUAGCUAUAUAUACUUUUGUUUUCAGUAAUAAUUUAUUUUUGAUUUUUUUUUUUUGUGUUUAUUAUUUUGAUCUUUAUCUAACUGUUUUUAUAAUUCUUAUUUUUUUAAAAAAAACUUGUUGAAUUCUAAAACAGUCUUGUUUUUGAAAAAAAUAUCUUCAAGGAUAGAUACUGCAGGCCUUUUUUGUUCUUCGUUAAUUUAUUACAACAGAGACUGGUGGUGCUUCUGGAAGAUUAAAUCGAUCAAAAAACGAACUUCAAUUUAGAUUUUGAGAUCAAAUACAAAACAAAGACAACUCUCUUCAAGCUCUCUCUCUCUCUCCCCUUCACUUUUCUCUCACCCAACCUCUUUAUUAACAGUGGAAAUAGAGAAACCAUCCCCAUUCUCAAUUUAGAAUAUGAUUAGAAACACACCCAGGUGGACAUGAAGUCAGCUAGACGGAAGAAUCAAAAGCAAGCCGCAGGUCGAGAAUUCUUCAGAAGAAACAAAAACCAGAGCACAGUAAUUUAUUAAAGCAGUGGACACAAAUCCCUUGAGCGGACUCUCUUGUCCUUCGGUAAAAUUACUACAGCAAGUACUGCAUCAUUUAGGAAAAAGACUCAGCAGUCAACACUAGCCAGCCAUAAUAUUUAGCAAUAAUUUAUAUCAGAAAAGCUUAGGAUAUCGUAUAUGUUUAUAUGAAAUAUUAUUAAACAACGAAUCAACACUACUCGCCUUGAAAACAACACAUUUGUCUUGGGCUUUAAUUAUCUUUUAAUAAAGAAACUUUUUUUUUUCUUCAUGAUGAAAGCACUUCCGUCACUAACGUGUCUAAAUUCACCACUGGGGUCAGUGGCCAAUUUUUCCAUUCUGUGACUUUUACAGAAUUAAAGCAUAGUGUGAAAGCCAAAAAAAAUAGUAAUAAUAAAUAAAAUAACAUAAUUAAUUAGGCUUUUUUUAUAUAUCCUUUUACUAUUUAAGAGUAUUUUAAGUGAAGUGAGUAUAUAAUAAAGAAAAUAAAAAAUUAUAGUAAUUUACACUCUAUUUUAUCAUACUAUAAAAACUUUUAAUACACUACGGAAAAAGAAAUAAAAAGCUAAUAACCACCUUGUUUUAUGAAUUCAUUCAAGUGGCUCACAGCAUACAUUUAGUCCUCAUAUUUAUUGUUUUGAUAUAUUAGUGUUAAAAAUAAAUUUUAAAAAAUAAAAUAAAUAUUAUUUUAAUAUAUUUUUAAAUAAAAAAAUAUUUUAAAAAAUAAAUUAUUCCAUCUAGACUUUACAAUAUACCCGACUCAGCGGAAGAGUCAAAAGCAAAAAGCACACAAUUCUUAAGAUGAAGACAACGUGUAGAAACAAAAACCAUAAAAUAAUUAGAUAAUCAGAGAGCGAGUACAAUCAUAGCUUUUCUGUCUCUCUCUUUGAAAAUUGAGGCACAGAGAGAGAAAGGAGAGAGAACUCGCAGGAGAGAGGGCUUGAGCUGGAAGGGGAAAAAACUGAUGCAUAGAGGGAGUGUUUCCUGCCGAGAGGGAGCAGUGCUUGAUUUAUUUUUAUAAAUUAAAAAUUUAAUAACGUUACAAUCAGAAAAUUUGUUUUGUAAAUUUAAUAAUUUAUAAAAUUAAUUUAAUAUAAUAUGUAAGACUAUUUAAAUAGAAAAUCCUCAAAUCUAAUUAAGAAAAAAAAAUCUAAAACUAAGAAAAUAAAUGUAAAUUAUUUGGCAAUGCAAACACCAUAAUCACCUUGAAAAUAAUACAUUUGUCUUGAGAUUUAAUUAUUUUUUUCUGAUAAACAGACCAUAAUAUUAUUUUUAUGACAAAAGCACUUCCGUCACCAGCCUGUCUAAAUUCAUGGAUGAUGAACCACCGGGCCCAGUGGCCUCCUCGGCUAAUUUUUUCCACUCCAUGGCUUUCUUCUUCAUUUUCUUCCCUUCUUCUCCUUCCAUCAACUCUCUCACUUGUUUUUCCACAUUUUCUCUCGUCACAUUGCUAUCAAUCUCCAUUCCAAUUGCCCACUCAUUGCAUGCAUACCGACAGUUUGUUUGCUGAUCACCGAAGGAUGGCCAACAAAGCAUAGGCACGCCAGAAGAAAUGCUCUCAAUUGUGGAACCCCAACCACAAUGUGUUAGGAAACCUCCAACUGAUGGGUGGUCGAGGACUUCCUCUUGUGGACACCAGCUUGAAAUAAAGCACCUGUCUUUAGUUUCUUCAGUGAAUUCUGGCGGCAAUAUCGCACUGUCGCCAGCGAUCAUGUCAGGUCUUAUGAUCCAUAAAAAUGGGUGACCGCUUUUUGCAAGUCCCGUUCCAAAUUCAAUGAGCUGCUGCUUUGUAGCGACCGCUACGCUGCCAAAAUUAACAUAAACGACAGAGUUGGGUUUCUGGGAAUCCAGCCAUUGGAGACACUCAACUUCUUCUUUCCAUAGAUUACAUCCAAUAGAAUUCAGAUCAUCUUCUUGAAUUUUAUUGAGAAGCAACUGAAGUGGACCCAUCGCAUAGACACGAGGAAACAUGGAGUAAAGGGCAUUCAGAACCUCUUGCUCCAAAGCAUCAAAAGUAUGGAAAAUAACGGCAGAACCUUCAGAAGCCCUCUCAGCACAUUCCACGCCGAAGUUAAACAUAAAAUCAUUUGGAUCUGUUGUUCGAACAAAACUGGGAAGGUCCCUUAACUUUAUAUCUCUCAUUCCUGGGAUCCAAUCUACCACUUUGUCCAAGUAGCCAUUUGUUAGAAAGCUCUCAUCUGCAAACAAAAAUUGAACGUACAUAUAGCUUUCAGUAUUGGAACUAUUUUUUUUCCUUAUAAACGUUAUGCUAGCAAGUGAAUAAAAAUGACUGAAGAAACAGAGAAAAAUAAAAUAAAUAUAAAGAAGGUUCCCUAGCUUGUGUCCUAGUGAAAAACAUGAAUAAUUAAGGGAAAUAGUAUACUUGUAGGAGAAAAUAUUCACGAGUACAACUCACCUGAAGUCCACUCAAAUAAUUAAUUAUGAGGGAAUAACUAUAAACAAAGUGAUUAUUGUAGAAAUCCUCUCUUUGUGAGUGUGGAUUAUUGAGCCUGACUGGUGCAAUAAUUUAUUUAUUUGGAGACAUUUCAAGCAACUACAAAUCUUAAUGAAACUAUAGUUUUUUUUUUCUUUGUCCAUACCUUUUAGUGGCGUAAGGCCUUUUUCUUUGAGUGCUUGAAAUUGUUCAAUCCCCAUGAAGCUGCAAGCAGAGAUAGUAAAGAACAACGCAAUAGGAAUUUCGUGCAUCGCAGCAGCAUCGAUAGCGACUGGCAUGAAACCAUCAGAGACGAUGCAAGUCACUGGGGGGGCAUCUGAAGAAGCUGUGUCAUUCAACUUGUCAAGCAGGUCAUUAAAUGGACCCAGUAAGUUCUUCCUGGAAGCCUCGCAAAUUGCAUACGUAUUCUGGGUGGCAUUCUCAUCCGAAGGAGGGAGGCCAUCCGGAAUGGAUUCAAACCGAAAAUCGGGCAAACCAUUCAUGGAAUCAGGACCUCUAGAUUUAAGUAAACGUCUGUGAUUGAACUCUGUAUUGACAAAGGUAAUGUGAAAGCCUUUGUAAUGUAAUAGUUUUGCUAGUUUAAGCACUGAUUUUAUGUGGCUCUGAGCUGGGGUGGGAAUGCAGACAACAUGAGGCUUAUGAUCAGCUGAAAUAUUACAAGCCAUCUCUUUAAAUCCCCCCCCCCCUUUUUUCUUGUUUUUUCUUGUUUUUUUUUUUGCCCUUUCUCUCUCUGUUUGCUCCUUUGCAUGCUCAGAAGAAGUUCUGGUAUUUGUAUAAAGCAAUGCUAAAAUUUCUGCUGCAAUUGUUUUUGUUUGUGUGCGAAAGGGAAUCUAACUUAGAACCACACAGCACUGCCUCCAUCACUUUAUCUGGAGAACUUUUAAUCUUAGCCACGUUCAGCAGCGUUGUGUUUUUUCUUCUGGAAUAUUCAACGUGGGGUUUUUAUUGUGAAAUUAAUGUACUUAAACCCUAUUUUAUUAGAGUUAAUUUAAAAGCAUUCCUUAACCGAGUCUUAUGAAAUUUAGAAUUACUGUAUAUUUUCAUGGUUAUUAAAUUUAAAAUUUAUAAGAUAAUUUGUAAGAUUAAUUAAGAUACACAUAAACUGACAUGAAAAUUCAUGUUAAUUUAAAAACGUUUAUCACCCUGUGUUUAUACAACAUUAGUGGUAUGCGGUCAUGAGAUUUUUUUUAUUUAAUUUUGUGAUAAUUAUAAUAUAUAUAUAUAUAGAAAAAGACAACCAAUUAAUUAAAUUCUAGAGUAAAAAAUGUUUUUUUCUUUAGAAAAAACUUUCUUUUUUUAUUCAUGCUUUUUUUCCCCAAUAAAAACAUGUCUUCUUUAUUAGUUGCAUUAUUUUUCAAUAAAAACUAAAAGUAAUUAAAAUAAAUAUUUUUUAAAAAAUUAAAUUAUUUUAAUUAAGGAGAAAAAAUAUAUAUAUCUGAAUCAAAACUCCCCUUUUCUUGUUCAUGUAUCUCUAUUUCUUAAUUUUUAACAAAAAUAAUUUUUCUAUCAAAAGCAUCGUUUCCAAGGAAAAUUAUGAUUAGCUUCAUCUAAUCCAAUCAGGUAAAUAUUGAAGCCCUAGAUAUAAUAUGAGAUAUAUUUUCAUCAUAAGCCCAAACCUUAAAGCCCAAGAUAUAAAUUACGAAUCCUAUCGUUACAGCAUCAACAAAAGUUUCUCACCUAGCUUUUUCGCCACACGAAACUACUUCGCUUCCAUUUUCGAAGGCACAAAACCGAGAAAGAAAAAUGAAGCCUCGUCAAGAACAAGAAGAAGACGAAGAACGACUUCGUCAAAGAAAACUUGAAGAAUCCCUUGAAAUAAAAUCUCUCCGGCGCAUAGUCAGUGCCUACCUUAAGUAAUUUUAUUGCCCCUUUCUCUCUCAAUUUCCUUUCUUUCUUUCUUUUUUGUUUUGAUUGGAUCUUUUGUGUGUAGUUAUGCAGAGGCAGCAGAAGAGGAUGUGAAAAGAUACGAAAGAUCGUUUAGGAAGCUUCCUCCUUCUCACAAAGUGGGUUCUUGGGGUUUUUUUUCUUUAACUGUUUUCUUGAAAUCUUGAAAGAUUGAGUAAAGUUAUGGGAAAUGAAAUAGGAAGCUACUGAAUUAGGAAUUAAAGGGAAAUGGGAUUUAGAAAAAAAUGAAUUUGCUGUACUGCUUACUUAAUUUUGUGUCACUGAUUAUUGAUUUUAAUGGAAUUAAAGUCAAGUCACUAACUACCCCACCAGGUGCAUUGACUUGAAGUCACUGAAACCAGCAGCAUUGUGACUGCAAUGUUCUUAAAGUAAUUUCUGAAUUGUGAAUAUAGAUAUUAAAUUGUAUGUUAAAUUUUUGUUUUACUGUGACUAAACUGGAAUUUAGGAAUUUGAAUUUUAUUUGCAAUAUCUAAUAUUUACGGCUUGAAUAUACGCCAGAAAGUUUUGAUUUUUGGCUUUGUUACAAGGAAAAAUUUAUGAAUUAUAUACGUUCUUUUGAUGAUAAUGGAUUCUGGAUAACAUGGGAUAUAUCUGUUUUUCUUAAAUAUAUUUUACAGGCUUUGUUAUCACACUACCCUUUGAAGUUUCAAAGUCUAAGAAGGUAAUUCCCCGAGAGUGCUAUUGCUUGGUUUAGGUUUCACAAGUUCACACAGACACAUGAGCAGACUCUUAGAAAGCAAUUGCCUUGAGUAUGGAAAAGAAAUAUUAAGUUAGUGUAAUGUUGGAGUUUGUGAACAAUUUGCUUUUUAUUCUGCAGGUGUAUUUCUAUAAAUUCGUAUUUCAUAUUUAAUAUGCUUCAGGUCAGAUGAGCUCUAUGUUCUCUUUAUUGAUUUUCUCUUUUGAUGCUCUACUAUACAUCUUUAUUUUCACAUCUCCUUUUGUUUGAUGUUUUAAUUCUGUAAUAUUAUGUGAGUUCUAUGGAAAAAAAAUAAGGUAUAUUAUUUUUAUUAUGAUUAGCAAUCACUUUUCAGGCAUUUGAGCCACCCCUGGAUAUGAGCCAGGACAUUGAUGACUCUGGGGAAUUGCACUUUGAAUGGCCACCAAAUGAUGGGAAUGUUUGCUCUCAUGAGUCUACCACAGCUAGGGGAAGUUGUUCCAAACUUGAUGAAGCUUGCUGUGGAGAAUCAAGCAAUGUGAUGAGCAAACUAGCAGAGGGUUUGACGGCCAAUGAGGUCUCUGCAAAAUGGCCAUGUGAUGUUUUGUAUAGUGACUGUCUAAACUGCAAAAAAAAUUUCUUCCACUUCUAUGUCUUUUCAUUUAGAAGUAUGACUUCUGUAGAUAACAACAGGAAGUGCAAAUUGAAGGUUGUCAUGGGUCUGAUACUGGGAGCUGUCUGGCAGGCGAGGAAAAUAACAAAAUGACAGCUGAAUGUUGUGGGAAUCAUGUUUCUGAUUCCAAUGGAAAUGUAAUGCUAUUUAGUUUGCCUAUUUUAUCUCAAGGUUCCUUGUUUGUUUAUAAUUAGUUUUUGUUUUUUGCUAGAUUUGCAAUGAAUUUCUCUUCAAGCCAUCAUUUUCUUCUUAUUCUAUGUAUAGUGAAACUUACUUUCUUGCAUAUAACAAUGUACAUUCAGGUCCCGUCAUCACCUCGUGAUUGGUUGGAUCCAUCAUUUCAGUUGCAUGUUCCCCUGGUUGAUGUUGAUAAGGUAUAUUGGUUAUCUUGGCGCAUAAGCAAACUUUGCAAGCUUUGCUACCUUAUUUAUAUGGUAAAAUAUGUGAAUAAACAAUGAUUUUUUUUAUAUCUUAAUUCUAAGUUAUUUUAAUGAGGUCACAUGUAAUUGACAUGGCUGAUGAAAGUCAUUCUUUUUUGCCUUAUAUUGGUUUGAUGAAUCUUCAAAUUUGGGUCAAUAAUUCAACUUUGAAAUUAUUGUUUUGGAUAAUUAAGAUGGAUCUGUCAUUAAUGAUGAUGAGCAAAAACACUGAUGAAUUGGUCAUGAAUUAGCAUAUGAUGUAUGGGAAAAAUGAUGGAAAAAAAAUGGAUCUCACACACACAAGAUACAAUCAGUGUUGUCAUGAGGUGCCGAGGCGCUCCAAGCUAGGAGAGGCGAGGCCCAAGCGCCUUUAUUAGCCUCGGGUGUCGGAUUUCACUAAGGUAAUCAUUUUCGGUUCGGUUCGGUUUUUAUAAAAAAAAAGUAACCAAACCGAAAUUUUUUUAAAAAAAAAAACCGAAAUCGAUUCAAACCGAUCAGUUUCGAUUUGGUUUUUUAGGACAAAAACCGGUCCAAACCGGUUUGACUUGGUUUUUUCGGUUUUAGGCUUAUAAAACCGAAACCGAACCGAACUGGUCAGUUUUUUAAAAAUUUUAAUCGGUUUAAUCAAUUUUUUUCACUGAUUGGUUUUUGUGGUUAUUUUUUUUCCGGUUUUCUCGGUUUAAUCGGUUUUUCGGUUUAUUUGCUCACCUCUAAAUUUCAAUGAAGUGCCACCUAGGCGAGCACCUUGAGAGUGGGUGCAAGGCAUUAAGGCUAGUGCCUGCUUGAAUUUCUUUCUUUUUUGUUGUUUUUUUUUUAAUUAAUUUUUAUUUUGUUCUAUUUGUUUAUUUUUUUAACUGAUAUUUAUUUAUUUUUUUAAUCUGUUCGGCUACUUACUAUAAAGUAUCUAUUUUAUUUUUAAGGGUGAAAAAUAUAACUUUAUACGACUAUGUUAUGGUAUUUUAUAUUUUCUUUUGAUUUUCUAAUUAUGUAAUCUUAAUUGAGAAGAUAUAUAUAUAUUAGAUUUAAAAAUAAAUUUAUAGUAUAUCGCCUUGGUUCAUUUAGGAGCGCCUAGCGCUUCGGGCAUUUUACAGGCUUGGUGUCUUUUAACGCAUUUUGCCUUUGACAACACUGGAUACAAUUGGUGUUCUUUGUGGAAUGUGUGAUUACUAAUGCUGCCAUUGUUUUUCCAUUUUCAUAGGUCCGUUGUAUACUAAGAAACAUAGUAAGAGACUGGGCAGCAGAGGUAAUGAUGCGUCAUUGCUUUCCUGUUUCUAACUCAUCAUCUGUGAUUUCUGAGGCCAAGGUUUAUGUGUUCCCACUGUUCCUACACUGAUGCAGGGACAGAAAGAACGUGAUCAGUGCUACAAGCCUAUUCUUGAAGAGCUCAAUUCUUUAUUCCCUAGUCGUUGCAACAAAAGGUACAUAAUUUCCUUAUGUGUUUACCAUUUUAGGAAUGCAAUUUUGUGCUUGGUGAUUGUGAUAUACAGAAUGAUAUAUAAUCUGUCAUGGAAUAAUGUUUUAUUUACUAUAUAACCAUAAAUUCAUUGCACAGUCCCCCUACAUGUUUAGUUCCUGGUGCUGGUCUUGGGCGUCUGGCCUUGGAGAUUUCAUGUUUGGGUAUGUAUUAAAGAUGUGAAGUUAUUACAAAUUCUAUUUUGGCAACUUUAUAUGGAGCCCAACACUUAUCAUAUGAUAAUGCAGGUUUCGUGAGCCAGGGAAAUGAAUUUUCAUACUACAUGAUGAUAUGCUCAAGUUUUAUUCUUAAUCAGUAAGGACUUCUAAUAAUUUCUUGCUAAUCUUACUGUAUGUAUGCUCUUGGCAGUAAUUAAUCUUUGAAUGAAUGAAUAUCACUCUCUCCCUUUCUUUAGUAAUGGGUAGUUUGAUUGUAUUAGGACCCAGAAUGCAGGGGAAUGGACUAUAUAUCCUUGGAUCCAUAGCAAUUGCAAUUCACUUUCAGACAGUGACCAACUCCGUCCUGUUUCAUUUCCAGAUAUUCAUCCAGCAAGGUAUUCAUGCUGCACUUAGUAUUUUUUUCAAAACUUUGCAUAAAAUUUUUAACAAUAACUAUCUGCAUGUCAUUUUAAAUCCAUAUUGACUUUUAUAAUAAGCAGUGCAGGGAUUACUGAAGGAUUCUCCAUGUGUGGUGGUGACUUUGUUGAAGUCUAUAGUGAUCCAAGUCAAGUAGGUAGGAGAAUUUAAUUCCUUUUAAUUGUUCAUGGUACAAAUAAUUGCUGGAACUUUGGCCACUGAAAUGGGCAGAUAUUUUGAUUAAUUUUAUUCCUUGCUAAUGAAACUUUUAUUUAUGUAAUAGUACUUUGAUUUGCAGAAGACUAGACAUGGUAUCAUAGGCACAAAUUAUUCUUGCAAUGUCCUUGCUUUGAAGGUAAUUCUUAUGGAGAGUAAUUGUAUGAUAUGCAGGAGUUUGGGAUGCAGUUGUAACUUGUUUUUUUAUUGAUACGGCACACAAUAUUGUUGAAUACAUUGAAAUCAUAUCAAGGAUUUUGAAAGAUGGGGGGGUGAGUUCCUUGAAGCUGUUUGAAACACUGUAUAUUUUCUGCUAUUUUUCACCAUGGAAUGAGCUCACUUAGGUGAUGACAGGUUUGGAUAAAUCUGGGACCACUCCUGUAUCAUUUUGCAGACAUGUAUGGACAAGAAGAUGUAAGCUUCAUUUUUCCACAAUGUUCAUAUAUAUACAUAUAUAUGGUGCUGUUUUGAUGCUGGUUUCUUUCUAAUGCAUUAACCCCUUUUCCUUUAGGAGAUGUCCAUUGAACUGAGCUUGGAAGAUGUAAAGUGUGUUGCGUUUAAUUAUGGGUUUGAAGUUGAGGUAAUAAUCUCAACUCCGUAUAUUUUUGGUUAUCUUGCAUGACCGAAUGCUUUUCUUUGCUGACUGCAUCUCCCAGUAAUUUAAAAAUGUACUGUUCUAUUUAUGGGCUGCAGAAGGAAAAGACAAUUGAGACAACCUACACUACAAAUCCUCGAUCAAUGAUGCAAGUAAGCUUCUCAGACCCAUGUUGGAAAUUCUCUGUUAAAUGUUUUCUCUGCCUGCUUUAUAAAUUUAAAAAGUGGGGGUGGGGGACGGUGCCUCUCCUCCUCAAAAUAUCAUCUGUGCAGUAUUUAUAGAAGUGAUCUAAGGACUAAGAAGCUUCUGUUGUGGCUUAACAAACUCGCUCACCAAAUGUGCUUACCUAUGUCAUGAGUCCCCAACAUGCUAGAUCCCUUCUCUUUCUUUUAGGCCAAUGAAGGCCACCAAAUUCCCUUUUGCUAAUCAGAUCUGACUUUUGUAGUUACAGAGUUUACCUUCAGCUCACGCUGGCGUGGUAUUUGCAAACAUAUUUGACUUUGAUUUUUUGCAGAACCGAUACUUUGCUGCAUUCUGGACAAUGAGAAAGAAAUCGGCAGCGGUGGAAAAGCAUUCAACAUGAUAAGCAGCGGUGGAGAAGCAUUUUGCAUGAUGAUUACCGGCCUUUGUAUUAUGUGGUCUACUAUAUUGUUAAUUUUUUUUUGUUAAUUAACGUGGGUAUCCAGGCCAGCUUGUAUGUACCUCGACUAAUCCCACGGACCCUGAAAUUAACGACUAUAUAAGCCUCCAGUAGUUCUGAGGGGAUUCGAACUCGUAACCAUUGGAAAGCAAACCCAAGACUUGACCAGUUGAGUUAGCCCUCAGUGUUUAUCUGCUAUAUUGUUCCUUCAUGUAAAAGCUGCAUACAGUGUCCAGUAAAUUGAAAUGUAUUUCUUGAAAAUAAUAUACAAGGUUGAAGAUUAAUUUGAGCGAUGUGUCAAAUUGUGACAGAUAGAAAGACUUUCCUUUUUCUUUUUGUUUUUGGUGCCAAGUUUUUCCUAGUUCGUAAUCUCAAAUUCUGGAACAGUGUUUAAGAGAUUAAUUAUCAUUUUCCUGCUUGAUCACAGAAUUAUAGAUUUACAAGUUUACAACUAUAAAAACUAAUGUAGUGUUGGGAACAUGGGACAAGACAAAACGUUACUUGCACUGGUGUUUGAUGGAUAGACCAAGAGCAGUUACUUUAAAAACACUGAAACACUCGAUCCAUAGGCAAUGAAUCGAGUGUUGUCGACAGCAGUUUCAACAUCGAUGGCUUUCUUCUCCUUCUUCUUUCUUGAACAGGAACUAAACUUUGCGAUCUGUCAAGCAAUAAAUGGAUAUUCAACAACAAGAUUCCAGAUUAAUGGACAAUCAUAGACUGCUUAAGAAUACUUGGGGUUGUAUAAUUUGCAUCAUGUAAACCCCAUUUAACAACUAAGAAAGAGAUUUAGGAGUAUUCAACAACUAAACAAAUAAAUGUAUAAUUUGCAUCAUGUAAACCCCAUUUAAAAAGGACAAUCAUAGACUGCUUAAGUCAAUAAUUGUUGGUCCAUAAUGCAAAACUUUUCAUAAAAAUAAUAAUAAUAAUAAUAAUAUGUAACGUCUCAAGCUAAGAAAGAGAUUUAGGAGUGUUUAAAAACGCGAGUAUAGCUGCAAUGCAAUUCACGUUCUCAAGAUAUGUUUUUAGCUAUUGUUUUUUUUAACUACAAAUACAACAAUAGAUUUACUAGCUAUAUAUUCUUUUUAUUUUAUUUAAUCUUUAAUAAUCCUCAAAUUGAGAAAUAGCACAUCACAAAAAUGUAGUCGGUUUCAAUCUCCUCAUAGCUCAUCUCUGUACGUAAAUCUGUAAUUAAUGUAUAAUAAAUAAAUUAAAAAAGUUGAUGAUGAAGAUCCAGCCGUUUCCUGGGGGUGUUUUGUUAAUGGAGGAACACCAUUGAUGGCGGAUAUGAUGGCGGUUGGUGGUUUAGAAUAAAAAAAAAAAGUGAAUUAAUUCAAUUCAAAUCAAACUAAUUUUAUAAGAAUGUGUGAUGUAUUUAGAAAUUAAAUAUUAACGAUAAUGGAUCUAAGAGAAAACAAAUCAAAUAUGAAAUAAAAGAAUAAAAUAUAUAUAUAUUAAAAAAAACCCACCUCAUGACUGUUCAGGUCCUUGAAAACAUCAGAGUUUUUUUUUAAGAUGUACAAGGGAAUCAUCUACCACGCGAUUCAUGCAUUAAAUUCUAUCUAAUACGGUGAUGCCUGUCCUGUCCUGCAAGCAUACACGCUUAGAUUUGUAUAUAUACGACAAUCAUUAGUUAUGUAAAUAGUUUUAGUUACUUCAUGCCGGCGCGCUGCCGCAGGUUUAUAAAACAAAUAUAUUUAAUAGUGUUAUAAUUAUGAACCAGCGCUAGAUAAAUAAUAGAAACUAAAGGUAUGAUGAAGCUAAUAUUUCAUGACGGAAAAAAAAAUUGUGUUGGUGAUCAAAACUUAGAGACUAAAAAUAAUAAUUUGUAGCAAUCCAUAGUGUUUUGGGAGGAAAGAUACAGUGCUUUCGCCACAUGAUUUAGCUUUUCUGUUAAUAAAAAGCAAAAAAAAUUACAAAGCUAAAUUCUCUACCAAUUUAAUAUUAAAAAAAAAACCAACAAAGAUAAUUUUGGAAGGAAAAAAACUCAUGAGGAAAAAUGUUGUAGCAAUUGACAAUGUUUUGUGAGGAAAACUACAGUGCUUUCCCCAAUAAAAUAAAAUAAAAAACCAUUUAGAGAAAUAUUGUAGCAAUCCAUAAUGUUUUGUGAGAAAAACUACAACGCUUUCCCCAUAUGAUUUAGCUUUAUUGUAAUUAUAAUUCUUAACCAACUUAAUAUUUUAAAAAAUAGACAGAUAAUUUUGGAAAAAAUAAUAAAAAAAUCAUAUGGGAAAACACUGCAAUAAUUCACAGUGUUUUAAAGAAAAAAAUUAUAAAGUUAAAUUCUUAAUCAGCUCAAUAUUAAAAAAAUCAAAUCGAUAGAGAUAAUUUUAGGAAAAAAAACACAAAAAAAGGGGAAAAAAUCAUGUUGGAAACAAUGUAGCAAUUUAUAGUGUUUUGUAAUGAAAGCUACAGUGCUUCCCCACAUGAUUUAACCUUAUUUGUAAUGACUUGUAAUUGUAAUUUUCAACAAUGUUUUGUGAGGAAAGCUUUAGUGCUUUCCCCACAUAAUUAAGUUUUAUUACAAAUUUAAAUUCUAACCAACUCAAUAUUAAAAAAAAAAUGGACGAAGAUAAUUUGGAAAAAAAUAUUACAAAAAAAGAAAACACAAAAGAAACUGGAAAAAAAAACCAUGUGAGAACAAACUGUAUCAAUCCAUAGUGUUUUGUGAGGAAAAACUUGUAUUUACUUGUAAUUACAAUUCUUAACCAGCUUAAUAUUUAAAAAAUAAAAUUGACAAAGACAAUGUUAGGGAAAAACAUAAAAAAACAGAAAAAAACCAUAUGAGAAAAAACAUUGUAGCAACCCACAGUAAUUUGCGAGGAAAGUUACAGUGCUUUCCUCACAUAUUGUAACGGUAAUUUUUAAUCAGUUCAAUAUUAAAAAAUAAAAUAAAAAAAGAUAAUUUCGGAGAAAAUUAUAAAAAAACAAAAACAAAAAAAACCAUGCGGAGAAACACUGUAUCAAUAAACAAUGUUUUAAAGAAAAAAAUUACAAAACUAAAUUCUCAAUCAGCUCAAUAUAAAACAAAAUCGACAAAUAUAAUUUUAAAAAAUAAAAAAAUAAAAUAGAAAAAUUAUGUAGGAAAACAUCGUAACAAUCCAAAGUAUUUUAAAGGAAAAAAAUUACAAAGUAGAAUUUUUAACCAACUCAAUAUUUAAAAAGUAAAAUCAAUAAAGAUAAUUUUUUUAAAAAAAUAAAUGGAAAAAAGAGAGAGAGAAAAAAAGCAAAGUUGGAAAAAAAAGAAAAAAUGAGGGAAAGUUGGAAAAAAAAAUGAAAAAAUACAAAAAAAAAAGAGAGGAAAAAACACUGUGGAUUACUGUUGUAAUCCAUAUUGAUUCCCUCACACCAUUUAGAUAUUGUUAUAAUUAUAAUAUAUAUUUAGGUUAUGCUUUAACCUAAACACCAUUUAGAUAUAACUAGCUUUGAUACCCGCGCGAUGCCGCGGGUUAUUUUUUUUAUAAAAAAUAUUUUAAAAAAUAAAAAUUGAAAAAUCUUAGAUUUUUCUGCAAAGUUAUACCCAAGAAUCUUGGGUGGCUGCAACGUCUGACCUAAGAGUAAUAUUUAUAAUAUUAAUAAUAAAAUUAAACUUACAUGACCCAGUAACACCAGACCCAAGAAUAUUGGAUGUAGGUCUGGCUAUAAGGUCGUGUAAUAAAAGUGUGAUAAUUAAAUAGAGUAAUUAAAAAAAACAAAGAAAAAAAAUCAACAGAAAGAAAAAAACUAAUGAAGAAAAAGAAAAAAAAAUUGAAUUAAUUGGGUUAACCCUUUAAACCAGGUUACCCCGUAAAACCUUAGAUUUGCGUCAUGAAAGUUUGAUAACUAAAUAGAAAAAAAAAAUGACGGAUUUACCCAGAAUUAACCGGGUUAACCCAUCAAACCAAGUUAACCCGUCAAGCCCAGGAUACAUGUCAUGAAAAUCUGAUAAUUAAAUAGAAAGAAAAUUAACUUUAACAAACUAAACUAAAUGAAAAAAAAUAACUCGUUAAAUCAGGUUAACCUAUCAAACCCGAGAUUCGUAUCAUGAAAAUAUGAUAAUUAAAUAAAAAAAAUUUAACAUUAACAAAAUAAAUCAAACAAAAAAAAUUCAUUAAAAAAAAUUAAAAAGAAAAAAACAGUCAUAUAAUAUAAUACAAUAUAAUAAUAAUUAUAAUGAAAAAACGUGGGGAAAGCUAAAGCUAAAGCUAAAAUUUCAACCAACUCAAUAUUAAAAAAAAUAAAUUUAACAAAGAUAAUUUAAAAAAUAAAAAUUUGGGGGAAACACUGCAGUCAAACAAAAAUCAUGCAAGGGAAACACUGUAGUAAUUCAUAGUAUUUUUUUUUCUUUUUGAAAAAAGCUACAAAGUUAAGUUCUCAACUAACUUAAUAUAGAAAAAAAACCGAGAUCUAUGUAAUAAAAGUAUGAUAACUAAAUUAAAAAAAAAAAUUUCACAUUAACAAACUAAAUUAAACAAAAAAAUUCAUUAAAAGAAAAAAAAACACAAAGAAAAAAGCAAAAAAAAAAACACCACAUAGGCAAAACGAAAAAAAAUAAAAGAAAAUAAAAAUAAAAAAAUCAAGUGUUUCACUGUGUACAAAGCGACACAUUAUAUGUAAAAAAUAGAAGAAACAAAAGCGAGGAAAAAAAAAAUAAAACUGCUAUAGUGAAAAACCCACGCGUUAAAAAAAACAUGUAAAAAAAACAAAAACAAAAAAAAGGAAAAAAAAGGAAAAACUGCUACAGAAAAACAAAACCAAAAACGAAAAACAAAUGCAACAGAAAAAAAAAACGAAAAAAAAUUGCAAAAAAAAAUGAAAAAAAAAUAAAAAAAUAAACAUGUGGGGGAAACAUUGCAACCAAACAAAAAUCAUGCAAGAGAAAGACUGUAGUAAUCCAUAAUAUUUUUUUUUCUUUUUGAAAAAAGCUACAAAGUUAAGUUUUCAACCAGCUUAAUAUAGAAAAAAAACUGAGAUUCGUGUAAUGAAAAUAUGAUAACUAAAUUAAAUUUUUUUUUACAUUAACAAACUAAAUUAAACAAAAAAAAAAUUCAUUGAAAGAAAAAAAAAACAAAGAAAAAGGCAAAAAAAAAACUCAUAGGGAAAACGAAAAAAAAGAAAAAAAAACAACAAAAAAAUCAAGUGUUUCACUGUGUGCACAGCGAUACAUUAUAUGUAAAAAAAACAAAAGAAACAAAAGCAAGGAAAAAAAAACAAAACUGCUACAGUGAAAAACCUAUGCGUUAAAAAAAAAUGUAAAAAAAAACAAAAAAAAAAACUGCUAUAGAAAAAUAAAACCAAAAACGAAAAAAAAAACAAGAAAAAAAACGAAAAAAAACUGAAAAAAAAGCGAAAAAAAAAAACUGAAAAAAAAAACGAAAAAAACUGUCCCUAAAAAAAAAAAAAACUUUAGCUACAGUGAAUUCACGUUUUAGUAUAUUACUUAAUUAUAAUUAUAAUAUAUAUAUUUAGGUUAUGCUUUAACCUAAAUAGCCCUCGCACUCUAACAUGCCACAAAACACUUUUGACUAGCCCUAGCUUGGGUUAAUAAACCUACUAGUUGUCUACUAAGCCCAAGUGAUUAAGGCAGUCACUUGGAUGUGGCUUAGCUACCAAUUACAUCUUUUUCUUCUCUUUUUAUUUUUUUUUCUCUUACUUUUUUGCACUAACAAUUUCAAUGCAUAAUACACUUAAUUUUUCUAUCUCGCAAAUACAAAUUUUUUUUGCAAUACAAACACCAUUCUUUUUUUUUUUUUAUCAUCAAUAGCAACAUUUCUUUUAUGACUAUAAACUCACAUGAACACCAAUAAAAAUAAAUAUAUUUUAUUAUAUAUAAACAUGACACACCAACUUCUCCUUUCAAUUACAUAUUAGACAUAACCUUUAUCAUAAUAUCAUACCAACCGGUGAUAGCUAAUCUUGAUUGAUCAAUGACAAGAUUCCCUCUUUUAUAAAGAAAUUACAAUUUUAGGUGUAUAAAUACAUCUAGUUACCAAACUAAAAGGGAAAUAUUUUUUCAUGACAUACUAAAUCCACAAUCUUGCAACACCUAGAUAACUUUCCUUACACCUUCUAUGUAUUUUCUCCUUGUCCAUUAUUGUUUCCACAUAUACAAGUAGCUAGUAACUAAGUAUUAAAGUGUAAACUGUCUUAACAAAAAACUGGUUUUAUAGGAAUCACUCAUCUGCCCAAUUCACUAGUCAAGAAAAUUAAUUUUUGUAUUUGAAAUUUUUUCAUGAUUUCAUCAUGACUAUUGUCAGGAGAUUAUUCAUACCUAGUUCUGUAAAGAGGUUGACUUGCGAUAACCAAAUGAGGUCUAGAAGGCCUCCAAAUUAGUCCCAACAAGUGUUGUUCAACUGAGUUUUAUUAUUAUUAUUAUUUUAGAUUUUCUAGCUUGUUUAAGAGUUUUAUUGUUUUUUUCUUUCAUUAUCAGGACUCUUAAUUUUCUAAUUUAUUUAGGAUGUCUUUGUUUUAAGGAGUUUUAUAUCUUUUAGAAAAACAUGCUACUUGAAAAAAAUCAAUAAUAAAAUUUUAGAUUAAAGAUUUUGUGUGGCGGCAUAUUCAAUAGAAAUUUAUAUUGCUUGUACAAAUUGUUUUUGCAUUGUUUCAUCUAAAUUAGUUAUUAUAUAAAUAAAUACAAAAUAUUUAUGACAAUGAAUAGAUAAUGUGUUUAAUGAUGUACAAUUAAUUCUUCUUUAAUGCUUGGAAUAAGUAAAUUGUAGAGAGAGUAAAUGUGUAAUAUUUUACUUUCCAUAUCUUAGAGCUCGAAAAUCAACAUGUGUCUUAUCAUGAGAAUAAGGGCCGGUGGCUCGGAGAGAGAGAGCUGAGCAGUCGGUGUUAAUUAAUUAUUCUCCUCUCCUGCAACGAGACACUGCGUUUUACGAAAUGUAGGUGAGGACGUAUCGAUACGAGGAGUAUAGAAGGAAGAGCAUUAAGAUGGUGUUUGGCAGUGUGGUAGUGGUUGAUUUUUAAAUAGCUUUUCGUGCUGAAAUACAUGCCAAUGAUGUUUUUUCAUUUUUUAAAAAUCAUUUUUGACAUCAGCACAUCAAAACGAUCCAAAAAGUACAAACCGCACUCAAUUUUAGCAAAAAAAAAAAAAAAAUUGAAAUUCGGUGAAAAGCAGAUUCAACCGCAGAACCAAACAGCCUCUAAGUAAGCACCUCGCCAUAAAUAGUGUGCUAAUAAUUAUUUUGUGAAGUGUUUUAUUUUUAUAAAAAUAUUAAAAUAAUAUUUUUUAAUUUAAAAAAAAUUAAUUUUAAUAUCAACAAAUAUAAAAAAAUUAAAAAAUUUAAUUUAAUACAAAAAAAAUAAAUUUUAAUAAAAAACAAGUUAAAAUUCAAACCAUGGAUUUGAUAUUAAGUUUUUGACUUCAAACUUUUUUUUAUUUAACCAUGGAUGUCCGGAUCAGUUUACGAGCACCUUGACUAAUCUUCCAGAGCUUUGAAGUUAAUGAACAGAUAAACCUCCAGUAAUUUUAAAAUUUAUAUCAGUCAAACUGAUAAUAUUUGAACAGCAAAUCAAAAAUUUAACUAAUUAAAUUACAUAUUUUAUGUACUAUGACAUGGUGUUUUGAUACUGAUUUCCACACAUAUAUGAGAUUUAAUCUCGUUAUUCUUAAACAAUUUAUCAAGUCUUAGUAAAAAGAAAUGGAUGAAUGAUACUGCAUAUAAUUGAACUUCAAGAUUUCAAUUAUUUGUAUAAUUGGAUUUUUUUAAUCAUAUGUUAGAUUAAAUUAAUUAUAAAUUUAAUUCAAUCUAUUAUUAUGUUCAUUGUUAUAAAUAAAAUCAGAGGUGGAACCAGAGUAGGCGAGCAGGGAUGGGCUCCUGUAAAAUAUUUUAAAUUUUUGUAUUUUUAGUGUUUAAAUAUAAAAUAAUAUAAUAUAUUUUUAUUUUAAAUACAUAAAUUUUCUAAUAAUAAAUUAUAUCUUGAGUUUUGUUUGACCUUCCUUCCUGUUAUAUAAUUCUAGUUCCGCCGCCCCUGAAUAAAGUUUUCUAGUUGCUUAUAUAUUUUAAUAAUAAUUCUCAAUGAAAAAAUAACUGGGCCAGACAAGCUUAUCAUUCAUUGAAAAAGGGCCAAUGAUAGAUGCUGGAGAUAGUGCAAUGUUGCGUUACAAGCCACAGCUAGUUUUGCUGAUCAGAUUUUAUAUAUUGUAGUAAUAAUUAAUUAGUAAAAUCCUUGCCUUUUGGAGGUACUUGUGAGCCGUGAUUCAAAAAUUAAUUAGUUGCUUUUUAUUGGUUAUGUCUGAUCUACCUUAAAAAAAGAGAGACAAAUAUAAAAAGAAAUAUUUUCAUUUAAAAUUAUAAGUAUAUUUUCAUUUAAAAUUUUCUCUUCUAAUUAUAAUUAAUUUAAAAAAUAAAUCCAAAAAAACAACUAAUAAAAAACUACUUGUUAUUCCCUCGCGCUUGGAAAAUUUCUCGUCGUUAUCACUAGAGUACAACUACAAUGACCUGGCAAAACAUGACAUUAAUAAAAUAAAAAUAAAAAAGUUGAAGGAAGACACAGAUUUGGAAAUAGAAAAUCAAGCAUUUCUGGCUAUAAAUGACAGGAAAAGAAUCAUUGAGACUGAACAGAGAGAAGCAAGCAAGCUAGCUAGUAAGAGAGAUAUGGGAUCCAUUUCGAAGCCUCAUGUUGUUGUGAUCCCAUGUCCAGUCCAAGGUCAUAUAAAGACUAUGCUUAAACUUGCGAAGCUUCUUCACUACAAAGGUCUUCACAUCACGUUUGUCAGCACAGAAUUCAAUCACAAACGUUUCCUUAGGUCAAGAGGACCUCAUGCCCUUGAUGACUUGCCUGGCUUCCAUUUUAGAACCAUUCCCGAUGGUCUCCCUCCUUCAGAUAUUGGUGCCACCCAAGACAUUCCUUCUCUUUGUCAUGCCAUGAACAAGAAUUUCUUAGCACCCUUUAAAGAUCUUCUUUUACAACUCAAAAAUACAGUAUCGGAGAACAACCCUCCGAUUACCUGCAUUGUUUCUGAUCCUUUUGCUCCAUUCUCCAUCAAAGCUGGGGAAGAAGUUGGUCUUCCAGUUGUGAUGUAUGCCACUACGAAUGCAUGUGGCUAUAUGGGAUGUAAACAGCUCUAUGCUCUCAGAGAGAAAGGCUUCACCCCCAUCAAAGGUAUAUUCACAUACUUGUUUAAUUACAAGUGAACUUCCAAGAAAAGUGGCUUUAUUACUAUUAUACAACUUCAUUAGUAUUUUACAGCUUUAUUCUUUUCUAAAUUUUCAAACAAAUGGUUGAGAUUAUCCUAGAAAUCAAAUGGUUGAGAUCCUUCUACAAAUAAUUUCAAAAAUUAUAGGGUAUGAGAGAUUUCAGAUCAUUUUUUAUUCUAUUAUUCUAGCUAGUACUCGGUAAUUAUAGGUAAAAUUCUUAUGAUGGUGGAGAGUAUCCUCAUUUUUAACAAGGUGAAACUGGAUUGAGUUUCCGGUUUCUCAUUAAUCUUGCAUAUUGCAUAGAUUAUUUGUUUGGCUAAAGUGUAAUGAAUACAAUUUCAGCUAUAAUGAUAAUGAUAGUAUUUGGAUGUGAAAAAAAUAUGAAUCACUAACUUGAUUGCUUUUUUCUUUUAUAUUUCUUUUUGUUCUCUCUUUAUCUCAUUUACGGCGCAUUCAUUUUAUUUUACUCAACAUUUUAGAAAUUAUCUUUUAAAUGAUUUCUUUUUUAUUAAUACACUUUAUUAUUAUUGAAAAAAUAUUAGAAUUUAAUUAAUUUGGUAUGCCCGCGUUCCGACAAAAAUUUCCAAGCUUAAAUCACACAGGCAAGAUCAAUGAUUAUGUGCAAAAGAAUUUCAUUUUGAGCUUGGUCUAAUAAGAUUGUGUUUUGCAGAUUUGAGCAAUCUAAGCAACGGCUAUCUUGAGACAAAAGUAGACUGGGCUCCUGGUAUGAAAGACGUUCGUCUUAAAGAUUUUCCAUUUAUUCAAACAACAGAUCCAGAUGAAGUUGUAUUUAACUUUGUCAUUGGGGUUGCUGAAACUUCUGUUAAAGCUCGUGCAAUUGCUUUUCAUACUUUUGACGCCUUGGAACCAGAAGUUUUAGAUGGCCUUUCCACUAUUUUCCCUCGAGUUUAUUCCAUCGGUCCACUCCAGUUACUCCUAAAUCAAUUCGAAGAAAAUGGUUUGAAGUCUAUUGGUUACAGUCUGUGGAAAGAAGACCAUGAGUGUCUCCAAUGGCUGGAAACAAAGGAACCCAAAUCAGUGGUGUACGUGAAUUUUGGAAGCAUAACAGUGAUGACAGCUGAUCAACUGGUGGAGUUUGCAAUGGGAUUAGUUAAUAGUAAUAUCCCAUUCUUGUGGAUUAUAAGGCCAGAUUUGGUCGUCGGUGAAUCAGCUGUUUUACCAGCUGAAUUUGAAGAGGAAACUGAAAAGCGAGGCUUUAUUACAAGUUGGUGUCCACAAGAGGAAGUGCUUAACCAUCCAGCAGUUGGAGGGUUUCUAACUCAUAGUGGCUGGGGUUCAACCAUUGAGAGCUUGUGUGCUGGUGUUCCAUUGGCGUGUUGGCCCUUCUUCGCUGAUCAAGCAAUGAACUGUAGAUAUAGCUGCAAUGAAUGGGGAGUUGGAAUGGAGAUUGAUAAUAACGUCAAGAGGGAAGAAGUGGAGAUGCUGGUGAAGGAGCUCAUGGAAGGGGAAAAGGGUGAGAAAAUGAGGGGAAAGGCUAUGGAGUGGAAAAGGUUGGCUGAAGAAGCUGUUGGGCCAGAGGGUACAUCAUCCAUUAAUUUGGACAAGUUCAUCCAUGAAAUAAUCUCUUCAAACAAUUAGAUCGUCGACACGCUAGAAUAAAAAAAAAAUCAUAAAAGAUCAAAUUUCGUUCGUCUGUGAAAAGAUCAAAUUUCCUUCCAGUUGCCUUUUUUUGGAAUUUAAAUAUCAUAAUAAAUAAAUGCUCCAUUUUCGAAUAUGGUAUGAUAUCUUGGAAACCUGUUGAUACUUCUAUCUCUACAUCCAAAGCUAUCAUAUCGUCAGAUCUUUUGUUUUUUAAUGCUUCACGUUUUCGUCAAAUUAUGGGUGUUCUUCAAUAUCUCAGUUUUGCGAGACCAGAUAUUUGCUUUGUUGUUAACAGAGUCUAUCAGUUUAUGCAUGCUCCUACAGACUCUCAUUGGGCUGCUGUUAAACGCAUUUUGCGUUAUCUUAACGGUACGACAACACAUGGCCUACAUAUUACUCAUAGUUCUUUCUUUCCAUUACAUGGCUUUACAAAUGCAGAUUCUGCAGGUAGUAUUGAUGAUAAAAAAAUCUACGAGUGGUUAUCUUGUGUCCUUUGGUUAUCUUAAGCAACGUACAAUUGCUCGCUCCUCUAUCGAAGCUGAGUACAAAUCCUUAGCAGAUGGUAUUGCUGAGGUUAUCUGGCUUGACUAUUUAUUAACAGAUCUUCAGAUUCUGUCUGUUUCAGCUCCUAUAAUUUGGUGUUAUAAUCUUGGUGCCACUUAUUUAUCUGCGAAUCAUGUUUUUCAUUCUUACACAAAACAUGUUGAGGUUGAUUAUCAUUUUGUUCGAGAUUGAGUUGCGAAGAGGGAGAUUCAGAUUCGUUUCAUUUUCUCUCGGGAUCAACUUGCAUAUGUCUUUACUAAGCCACUUCCUACUGCUUCGUUUACUGCUUUUCGUUUCAAGCUUCGGGUCGAUCGUCUACCCUAAGCUUGAGAGGGCAUAUUAUAGAAUGUAUACUAUAUAUGAAAUAUUAUGGGCACUACUAUAGUAUUAAUUGUAUUCUCUACAUUAACUAUUAUAUAUUGCCCUACACAUAUAAAUAGAAAAGGAUUGGUUAAAUCAAAAGUUAAGCCUCCUAAUUAUUCUCAACUAUUACCAGUGAGUCAACGAUUUUGCCGGCUGAGUUUCAAGUGGAAACUUAGAACCGUGGUUUCGUAACUAGUUGGUGUCCACAAGAGGAAGUUCUGAACCACCCAUCAGUUGGUGUCAAAGAACCAUCUCAACCCAAUAGCUUAAACUGUUAGGUAAGGUCCCAAGAUAUGAUUUAUAUUAUUCUCUAACACACCCCCUCAAGUGAAAGCCCUUUGAAAUUGAAACUUGCACAAGCCUAUAUUAUCUUGUGCUUAAUUUUUAUCAAAUAACUGGGGAUGGUGAGAUUCGAACUCGUGACCGCUUGGUCAUUAAGGUUUUGAUACCAUGUCAAAGAACCAUCUCAACCCAAUAGCUUAAGCUGUUAGGUGAAGUUUCAGGAUAUGAUUUAUAUUAUUAUCUAACAGUUGGGGGAGAUUUCUAACUCAUACCGGUUGGAAUUCGAUUAUUGAAAGCUUGUGUGCUGGAGUGCCAGUGAUAUGUUGGCCUUUAUUUGCUGAUCAACCAAUAAAUUGUAGCUGUGCUUGCAUUGAAUGGGGAGUUGGCAUGGAGAUUGAUAACAAUGUCAAGAGAGAAGAAGUGGAGAAGCUUAUCAGGAACUUGAUGGGAGGAGAAAGUGUAAGAAAAUGAGGGAAAAGGCCAAACACUGGAGGAAGGUGGCGGAAGAGGCUACUGUCCCUAGCUAAUGGUUCAUCAUCCAUUAAUUUAGACAGUUUCAUCAAUGAAAUGUUACAAUCAAACAUCACUCUGUAACCUAUGAUCAUUCAAAAGAGAAAAUACUUUUGUGAUGGGAUUUUAUUGCUUGCCAAUUGAAGAUAGCUAGUGUUUGCACUAAUGGUGUUUGUCUCGAUAGUCCAUAUGCAUGGUUGUCUGGAACGUCCCAAGAACCUAGCACGCAACUGAACAGCUUCUAGGUCUACAAAUUAAGACAUAUCCAGUCCAAUGAGCUCGGGCGUAGAAAUUUGUCCAUUGAACAGUCCCUGUUAAAGAUCAAUCCAGAAAUUAAUUUAGCUAAUGGUGUUUUUUUUUCUGGGCCCAGCUCAGCCCACGUGGGCUGGGCUAGACCCAACCAUCCUGGCCCGGUUACUGGCCUAAGCCAGUGAUCCGGCUGGCUGAAGCACGCAUGCGUGAACUAUUCACGCAUGCUGUGCACAGUGGGAAGGUAAUUAAAAUUACCUUAUCCCUGUACUUAUACAACUAUAAAUGAAAGGGAGCGGGAAGCUUACCUGGAAGCAGGAACGAAGACGAUGACGAAGGCGUGGUGGCUGGCUGUUCCUCCUGUUCGUUCGUCUCCUCUCUGCUUCUGGUUUUUUCUUAGAGACGAAGGAACGAAGAUGAUGAUGAUGCCGGUUCUCUCUGGUGGUCUUGAUUCUGGGUCCUUCUUUUUCUGCUGUUAUUUUGGGUUUCUUCCUCUGCUUAUGACGGUUCGGAGUGGUGCCAGGCUGAUCAAUGUUUACAGUUUCUCUGUUUUCCCUUGUUCACUUUGCUUGCGUCCUGGGGACGAAGACAACGCUGGCUUUUGCUCUCUCCUCCUUUUUCUUUUUAGUUUGUCUCUCCCUGUUUCCAGUGUUCUUCCCCUGUCUUUUUUUUUUUGUUUCGGUUCGUGCUCUCCCUCUCCUUCUCUAGUCCAGUAUGUCUAUCUCCGUGCGUCCUCUGUUUUUUUUCUGCCCUCUCAGUUUAGUUCCCCCUCUGUUCGUCUGUAUUUUCUCUCUUUGUCCCCUGUAUUUUUUUUCUGUUUCGGUUCGUGAUCUGCCCCCUGCUUCCCCCGCUGUGAGGCCUUUCUCUGGCUUUUAUAAAGCCAGAGAAGGUCGUGUGUUCAUGCCUCAACAAAUGAGGCACGUUCCGUGAGGGAUCGUGGUUCAUGAUCUGCUGGCAGUGUUUCCUGUUGAUCCGGUCUUCCGGAUGAGGAGAUGAUGAACAGUGGUUCAAAACGGCGCCGUUUAUAUCUGGUGUUUUCAACUUAGCCCCUGAACUUCUAACAUUAACAAUUGGGUUCCUGAUUUCAUUAAUUAAACUAAUUCCAAGUUCACUUAAGUCCCCAAACUUAUCAAUUCUUCAAUUAAGCUCUUAAUGUGAUUAAUGAAACUACUCCCAAGUUUAAUUAAGUCCUUAAACUUUCAAUUAUGUUGCCUUAGCUCAAAUUUUAAUUUAUCCUUCAUUCAUUUUAUUUUUUUUUCACAUAUAUUUUUUUGUUUUAAUAAAAAUAAGAUAAAAUAAAAAUAGUUAAAAUUUAAGUUAUAACAUUAAUAAUUAAUUUUAAAAAGAACUUAUAUGUUUAUUUAAUAGUCCUGAACAAUAAAAAUUUCUAGCUACGCCUUUGCUCGGCUCCAUGCAUUAAAUGUGACAAUGCAUUGGGGAUGGCUCCACUCUUCCUCAUGACAUGUUGUCAAUUUAAGCAGAUUUUUACUCACGGCACUAGCCAUGUGUCUAUCGUGACAGUAAGGGCCGGUGGUUCAAGGAGGGAGGGAGAGAGAGAGGGUGGUGUUUUGGUGCAGGUUUCCACAUUUAUGUGGAUUUAAUCUCGUUAUUCCAAAACAAUUUAUCCAACUGUUAGUAAGAAGAAAAGGAUGAAUGAUACUAUAUAUAAUUGAACUUAAUUACAAGGCUCCAAUUAUUUGUAUAAUUGAAUUUUUUUAGAUUAAAUUAAUUCAAUUCAUUAUGUUCAUUGCUAUAAAUAAAGUUUUCUAGUUGCGUUAUGGAUAUAUAUUUUAAUAAUAAUUUUCAAUGAAAAAAUAACUGGCCAUUCAUUAAUACGACUAGAAAAAGGGCCAAUGAUAGAUGCUGCCAGACAAUUUUGCUGAUAAGAUUUUAUAUAUUAUAGUGAUAAUUAAUUUGUGAAAUCCUUGUAUUUUGGAGGUAAUUGUGAGCUGUGAUUCAUCUAUUUGGAAGUAUGGAUAUUGUUGUUUUUUAAAAUAUUUUUUGUUUGAAAAUACAUCAAAAUAAUAUAUUUUUUUAUUUUUUAAAAAUUAUUUUUAAUAUUAGCAUAUCAAAAUAUUUGAAAACACCAAAAAAUAUUAAUUUAAAACAAAAAAAAUAAAAAAAUUUUAAUUUUUUCAAAAACACUUUUAAAAUAUUAAAAUAAUAAAUUGCUAUUGAUUACAUGGUGGUCCCGUAGAGAAAAAAACAGGUAUAAAAAAAACAAAAAGAGAUAUGGAUUAUUAAAAAUAAUAAAAAUAUAUAUAUAUUUAAAAUAUUCUUGUUGUUAUUCUCGUCCCUGUAAAAUUUCUCGUUGUUAUCACUAGAGUACAACUACAAUGACCUGGCAAAACAUGCCAUUAAUAAAAUAGAAAUAAAAAUAAAAAAUCCAAGGAAGACACAGAUUUGGAAAUAGAAAAUCAAGCAUAUCUGGCUAUAAAUCACAGGAAAAGACUCAUUGAGACUGAACAGAGAGAAGCAAGCUAGCUAGCUAGUAAGAGAGAUAUGGGAUCCAUUUCCAAGCCUCAUGUUGUUGUGAUCCCAUGUCCACUCCAAGGUCAUAUAAAGACUAUGCUUAAACUUGCGAAGCUUCUUCACUACAAAGGUCUUCACAUCACGUUUGUCAGCACAGAAUUCAAUCACAAACGUUUCCUUUGGUCAAGAGGACGUCAUGCCCUUGAUGACUUGCCUGGCUUCCAUUUUAGAACCAUUCCCGAUGGUCUCCCUCCUUCAGAUAUUGAUGCCACCCAAGACAUUCCUUCUCUUUGUGAUGCCAUGAACAAGAAUUUCUUAGCACCCUUUAAAGAUCUUCUUUUGGAACUCAGAAAUACCGUUUCGGAGAACAACCCUCCGGUUACCUGCAUUGUUUCUGAUCC
This 45536-nucleotide long non-coding RNA is filed under the name Populus trichocarpa (black cottonwood). RNAcentral describes it as "long non-coding RNA (PTRI_LNC003576)". The record is from RNAcentral. Lineage: Eukaryota; Viridiplantae; Streptophyta; Magnoliopsida; Malpighiales; Salicaceae.